UAGUAAUCACCUAGCGGAGUAGUAUUCGCCUAAAUAAAAUUGCCGCUUGAGAAGUAGUGCCUCCAAUGGCACCGGAUAUGCUGUGUACUGCUUGCUUCUUGUGAGUUUAUGGAUGAUGGUGAAUCAAGUGUGACUUUAUUCGGUAAAUGGUUGAUUUCAUAAGGAGCUGAUAUGUCCCAAGUAAUUAGCAUGUCGAAAUGCUAUGAUACUUGAAUCUAUGUGGUCUCAAGCCGGUACAUUGUUCCCCUCUUCAUUCUUGGGCUCACCCGACCUGCUGGGGCUUCCGGCGGCGGAGCUCUAGCCUGGAGCCUCCAAGAAGGCAAUGCAAUGCACUGGUUCCUGGUUAAUGCUUAGUGGCUUAGUGGAACCUGGCCUUUCUCUGAGUGUAAACUCAAAUUCUUCCAUUUUGAAAACCACUGACCUCUAGCAGUUGGAACCGGGGAACCAGAUAUUUCUCCUCAAACUCCUCAAAAAUCAAUUAUAAGCUGAGGAUAAUCAGAGCAGAAAUCAGACAAUGGGCUAGGUCUAAAUCAAGCUUACAAACUCUACUGGCCAACAGCAAGCAUGUGAUUCAGUACACUGAAGCAGUGGAAGAAAGAAGGAAGCUGUCAGCACUUGAGUUGGUUUUAACUUUUAAGAGCAUAUGCCAACAAAGAGGCCCAGCAGCUGAUUUUGUGGCAAACUAGCAUGUGGAGAUGACUGAGCAAAGAUCAGAGAUUGUAUGUUUUGGGAGAUUAAAACACGCAAUUCUUCUACGCCGCUGUAAAUUGUCACUCCAGAAAAAACAGAAUUACUCCUGAUGAGAGAUGACAUACAGCACUCUGAGAAUUCAGAAAAGCUGACUAUUGCUGCGGAGUUCUUCACAAACUUGUUUGGAAAGGACUCAUCUCUUCCAGUUAUUGAUCCCGCAAAUCUGUAUGGUCAACUCGACAUUAGUAUGUUGGAUGAACCUAUCUCCUGGGCUGAGAUUGUUAAUAUGCUAUCAAUAACCUGGGCCUUCCUUUAUGUACCCAAAAAAAUACGCAUGGCAUGCUAAUGCCAGUAAUUCAGAGUGGACAAAAGACUCUGUGGGUGUCUGGCCAUCUUUCUUUCUUGGGGAGGAAGAUUAAUAUUGAUCAACUCCGUGCUCGGUGCGAUUCCAAAUCAUUUCAUGGCAUGCUUCUUGUGGCCUAAAGAGUCUUUAAAAAAGCUGGAACAAAUCCUGUGAGGUUUUCUUUGGCAAGGAAAGAGUUCUGCAAGUGGAGGACAUUGUUUAGUGGGUUCUGUCAAGUUGCCGAAGGCCAAUGGAGGGCAUUGUUUAGUGGAUGAGGGACCCUGAAGCUCACUGUUGAGGAUAGUAUUUGUGCAUGUAUAUUGUUUUUUGUACAUUAGGCCCACAUCUUUAGUUGUUGUAUAGAUUGAGGUAGAGGCCCCACAUUAUACUUAUAUAUACCGUGUAUAUUGCACCGAAUCAAUACAUCGUGCAAUUCAUACAUCUAAUAUGAUAUCAGUUUUUAGGUUCUAAACCCUAAUCUUCCGCUGGCGCCGUCGCCGCCGUGCGUCAACCGCACCGGCCGCCGCUUUUCCUCUCGCUAAUCACGCACUAGCCGCCGCUAAUCCUGCCAGCCGCCGCUAGCCCGCCCGCCCGCUGCACUGCCUUCCACGCUCUCCAGGUCGUCCCGUCGCUCGCCAGAUCGUCCUAUUCCCUCGUCCUGCCCGCUAGCGACACGCCGCCGCCUCCCGAUCCCACGUCCCGAGGCCACCGCUCGUCCUGCUCGCACUAACACCACGCUACACGCAUCACCAUCGCUGCUGUAGCUCGCAUCGCCUGCCGCGCCACACGCAUCGCCAGGUAGACCAAGCCGCUCACACCGUCCCGUUUCCGCCAUGUCGUCUGUCACUUCCUACGCGUCCACCAACUCCAACCCGUUCGCCGACGCCAACCCCCCUGACGUCAACGACAUCCGCAAGCUUAACAUCUUCGAGCGGGUGCCGGUUCGUCUCUCUCAGGCGGACUCCUCCUACCACUCGUGAAAAACGUAUUUUUUCCUUGUGUUUCGGGAGUAUCAUCUCAUAGAUCACGUGGAUGGCACCGUCGACUCCAGCCUCGUUCCCGAGUUUCAUGACUGGUCCACCAUCGACAUCACAAUCAUCCGCUGGUUUUUCCUCACCAUCACGCCCAACCUCUUCCAGACGGUCGUGACGGACGGUGAUGAUGCCUGCGCCGUGUGGACCAAACUGAACGGGCUCUUCACCGACAACAAGCUCUAGCGUCGCGUUUUUCUGCAGCAAGAGUUCUUUGGGUGUCAUCAGGACAACACCUCCAUCGACGACUAUUGUCGCCGCCUUAAGACUCUCGCCGACGAGCUUCGCGAUAUCGGCGCCAAGGUCGAUGAUGACCUCUUCCUCAGCACGCUCACCGCCGGGCUCAACGAGGACUUCAGCAACGCCGCGGGGAACCUCAGCCUCAUCCCCAACCCGUCCUUCGCCAAGUUCGUUGCAUACCUCCGCCUGCAGGAGCAGCGGAUGCAGAAGGUGAAGACACGCCAUCCACACCGCCCUCGCCGCCGGCACCACUCGCGGCGGGCCUCCGGCGCCUCCUGCUGCCCCGACACCCCAGCAGCGUCAUCAAGCGCCCUUCCCGGCGCCCCAGCAGCCGGGGCUCCUGCCACUGUCGUACGGCCCGCCCGCGCCCCCCGCUCCUCCCGCUGAAAAGCGCCGCGGGGGUCGGCGUGGUGGCCGCCGCGGUGGUCAGCAGCAGCGGCAAUAGUUCCAGGCGCCGCAGCAGCUCCAGGUGCCGCCCCCAUGGGCCUCCGGCUACAACCCCUGGACCGGCAUUGUCCAUGCGUACACCAUGCCAGUUCCACGGGCUCCUGCACCGACGCUUCAUGUGCCGCGCCCACCGGUGCACCAGGCGUAUUACGCGGCUCCGCAACCGUACGGAGGAUACCCACCGCCGCAAAUGAGCGGCGCCUACGGUCUCCCUGCAGCCCUGCCGCCACCCUCGCCGGCCCUACCGCCGGCACCUUGGGAUCCGACGCUCCUCGCUGCACUGCACACCGCGCCUACACCGAACAACUACACUGGAGGCGGUGAUUGGUACAUGGACACUGGGGCUACGGCACACAUGUUUGCUCAUCCUGGUAAUCUUGCCUCCUUCACUUCUGUCACCACCGACCGCCGCAUUAUUGUCGGCGACGGUUCCACACUACCUAUCACAUAUGUCGGGCACACUUCUUUUCCUUCUACUUCUCUACCUAUUACUUUGUCUAACAUACUUGUGUCACCUCAUCUUAUUAAGAAUCUUAUUUCCGUUCGUUGUUUAACUCAUGAAAAUCCUGUUACUGUUGAAUUUGACGAGCUUGGUUUUUGUGUCAAGGACGCUCGAACCAGGAUGGUACUUCACCGAUGUGACAGCUCGACGAGCUCUAUCCGGUGCAUCCGCCGUCCACCUCCACCACCGCACCGGUUGCUCUCUCCGCUGGCGUCGAUCUCUGGCACGCUCGUUUGGGUCACCCCAACCCCGUCACACUUCGUCAUAUUCUUAGGAGUUUCAGUUUCAGUUGUAAUAAGAUAGAGGAUCACACCUGUCAUGCCUGUCGUGUCGGCAAACAUGUUCGCCUUCCGUUUAAUACCUCCACCACCAUAGCUUCUUUUCCUUUUCAGUUGAUUCAUAGCAAUGUGUGGACCUCUCCGGUUCCUAGUAAUUCGAGCUAUUUAUAUUAUCUGGUUAUUCUUGAUGAUUAUUCUCAUUAUGUGUGGACGUUUCCUUUACGACGAAAGUCGGAUGCACUCUCCACUUUGUCGGCCUUUUACUCCUAUGUCAGCAUGCAGUUUGGGCGUCCCAUCCUUGCUCUUCAGACUAACAAUGGAAAAUGUUGGGGAACGUAGCAGAAUUUUAAAAUUUUCUACGCAUCACCAAGAUCAAUCUAUGGAGUCAUCUAGCAACGAGGGAGAGAGGAGUGCAUCUACAUACCCUUGUAGAUCGCGCGCGGAAGCGUUCAAGAGAACGAGGUUGAUGGAGUCGUACUCGACGCGAUUCAAAUCACCGAUGACCUAGUGCCGAACGGACGGCACCUCCGCGUUCAACACACGUACGGUUAGGAAGACGUCUCCUCCUUCUUGAUCCAGCAAGGGGGAAGGAGAGGUUGAUGAAGAUCCAGCAGCACGACGGCGUGGUGAUGGAUGCAGCAGGAUCCCGACAGGGCUUCGCCAAGCGCAAGCGGGGAGGAGAUGUGUUACGGAGGGAGAGGGAGGCGCCAAGAGCAAGGGUGCGGCUGCCCUCCCUCCCUCCUUCUUUAUAUAGGGGCCUUGGGGGGCGCCGACCCUAGGGAGAUGGAUCUCCAAGGGGGCGGCGGCCAAGGGUGGCUCCCCCCCCCCCAAGCCAAGUGGGGGGCGCCCCCACCCCUAGGGUUUCCCAACCCUAGGCGCAGGGCAGGCCCAAGGGGGGGCGCACCAGCCCACUAGGGGCUGGUUCCCCACCCAAUUCAGCCCAUGGGGCCCUCCGGGAUAGGUGGCCCCACCCGGCGGACCCCCGGGACCCUUUCGGUGGUCCCGGUACAAUACCGGUAACCCCCGAAACCUUCCCAAUGGCCAAAAAUUGACUUCCCAUAUAUAAAUCUUUACCUCCGGACCAUUCUGGAACUCCUCGUGACGUCCGGGAUCUCAUCCGGGACUCCGAACAACUUUCGGGUUACUGCAUACUAAUAUCUCUACAACCCUAGCGUCACCGAACCUUAAGUGUGUAGACCCUACGGGUUCGGGAGACAUGCAGACAUGACCGAGAUGCCUCUCCAGUCAAUAACCAAUAGCGGGAUCUGGAUACCCAUGUUGGCUCCCACAUGCUCCAUGAUGAUUUCAUCGGAUGAACCAUGAUGUCGAGGAUUCAAUCAAUCCGUAUACAAUUCCCUUUGUCAAUCGGUACGUUACUUGCCCGAGACUUGAUCGUCGGUAUCCCAAUACCUCGUUCAAUCUCGUUACCGGCAAGUCACUUUACUCGUGCCGUAAUGCAUGAUCCCGUGAUCAACCACUUGGUCACAUUGAGCUCAUUAUGAUGAUGCAUUACCGAGUGGGCCCAGAGAUACCUCUCCAUCAUACGGAAUGACAAAUCCCAGUGUCGAUUCGUGCCAACCCAACAGAUACUUUCGGAGAUACCUGUAAUGUACCUUUAUAGUCACCCAGUUACGUUGUGACGUUUGGCACACCCAAGGCACUCCUACGGUAUCCGGGAGUUGCACAAUCUCAUGGUCUAAGGAAAUGAUACUUGACAUUCGGAAAAGCUACAGCAAACGAACUACACGAUCUUUGAGUUAUGCUUAGGAUUGGGUCUUGUCCAUCACAUUAUUCUCCUAAUGAUGUGAUCCCGUUAUCAAUGAAAUCCAAUGUCCAUAGUCAGGAAACCAUGACUAUCUUUUGGUCAACGAGCUAGUCAACUAGAGGCUCACUAGGGACGUGUUGUGGUCUAUGUAUUCAGACAUGUAUUACGAUUUCCGGAUAACACAAUUAUAGCAUGAACAAUGGACAAUUAUCAUGAACAAAGAAAUAUAAUAAUAACCAUUUUAUUAUUGCCUCUAGGGCAUAUUUCCAACAGAAAAGAGUUCGACAAUCUUGCUUUCCGCACUUUUCUGUCGCAGCACGGCACAGUUUUUCGUCUCACAUGCCCGUAUACUUCACAGCAGAAUGGUCGAGCCGAACGCGUCCUUCGCACUCUGAACGACUGCGUUUGGACGCUCCUGUUCCAUGCUAAUGUGCCGCCUCGUUUCUGGCCGGAUGCACUCGCUACUGCUUCACUUCUUCUUAACCUUCGCCCUUGCCGCCCAUGGUGGAACUAUGCACCUCACCAUCUUCUCUUCGGUACGCCUCCAUCUUACGAUGACUUGCGUGUUUUUGGGUGCCUUUGCUAUCCUAGCACUGUGGACUCCGCUCCUCACAAACUCGCACCUCGUUCUGUCGCUUGCAUCUUCAUCGGCUACCCUUCCAACUCCAAGGGAUAUCGGUGCUAUGAUCCCGUCUCCCAUCGUGUGUUCACUUCCCGACACGUUUACUUUGAUGAGCAUGUGUUUCUGUUUCAGCAGGUACCUCCGGCUGUUCCUCCCGUCACUGGUGACGCGGGCUCCUCGACGCCGCUCCCAGGGCGCUUGCGCGCUUCUCUUGGCCCGCCCCCUGGCUUUGAGGCGCGUCCUCCACAUGCGACGCCUCCUACAGCCGCGGUCCUGGCCCCUGCGGCCUCCACGGCCCCCGCGGCGCCCCCGGCCCCCAUGCCCCCCUUGGCGCCACCCUCGGCGCCCCCGGCCUCCUCAGCGCUCCCGGCGCCCCUGGCCCCGGCGCCCCCCUCAGCGCCUUCGGCCUCGGCGCCCCCGGCGCCCGCGCCUCCGGCACCGAUGGCCGGUCCGGUCACCCGUGCCCGUACAGGCGUUUUUCGCCCGAGCUCGCGCUACGCCGCGGAUGACUACGUCCAUGUGGCGUCCACCUUUGAGCCGUCGCUGUUGCCUUCCUCCGUCCGAGCCGCUCUUCGUGACCCGCUCUGGAUGGCUGCGAUGCAAGAGAAGUUUGACGCCCUGUUGCGCAACCGGACGUGGCAGCUUGUUCCCCGUCCCCGGCACGCCAACGUGAUUACCGGGAAGUGGGUCUUCAAACACAAGCUCCGUCCCGAUGGUACCCUUGAUCGCUAUAAAGCGCACUGGGUCGUUCGUGGAUUCCGACAGCGUGCUGCAUCGACUUCACCGACACCUUCGAUCCGGUCGUCAAGCCCAACACGAUACGCACGGUUCUCCACCUUGCGGUCUCCCGUGCUUGGCCGGUGCACCAGAUGGGCGUCUCAAACGCCUUCCUUCAUGUCCACCUCGAGGAGCAGGUCUUCUGCCAGCAGCCCACCGGGUUUGUUGAUCCGGCACUUCCCGACCAUGUGUGCCUGCUUUCGCGGUCCUUGUAUGGACUCAAGCAGGCUCCGCACUCUUGGUACCAGCGCAUCGCGGCGUUUCUUCAUCAGCUUGGGUUCCGCUCCACUCGCUCGGACACAUCGCUCUUCGUUUAUCACCAGGGCUCCGACACGGCCUACUUGCUGCUAUAUGUCGAUGACAUCAUCUUGACGCCAUGUACAACCGGCCUUCUCAGUCAGCUCACGGCUCGUCUUUGCGCUGAGUUCGCCAUCAAGGACUUGGGUCCUCUGCACUACUUCCUCGGUGUUGAGGUGGUGCGCCGUCCGGAUGGCUUCCUUCUUCAUCAGCGGAAGUACGCUCAUGAGCUCCUAGAGCGCGCUGGCAUGCUUAACUGCAAGCCCGCCGCCACGCCUGUUGAUACGAAGGCCAAGCUCUCUGCCAUGGAUGGUUCCCCUGCUUCGGAUGCUGCUUUCUAUCGGUCUAUUGUUGGUGCUCUUCAGUACCUCACUUUGACUCGACCAGAGAUCCAGUAUGCAGUGCAGCAGGUGUGUCUUCAUAUGCAUGCUCCUCGGGAUGUUCACUGGGCCGCUGUCAAGCGGAUUCUCCGCUACGUUUGUGGCACUAUGGAUUUUGGAGUCACGCUUCACGCCUCCACCGACACCGCCCUCACAGCCUACUCCGAUGCAGACUGGGCGGGCUGCCCUGACACACGUCGCUCCACCUCGGGCUAUUGUGUCUACCUUGGACCCUCACUUAUCUCGUGGUCGUCCAAGCGGCAGCCUACAGUCUCUCGCUCCAGUGCUGAGGCUGAGUAUCGUGCGGUGGCCAACGCCGUCGCUGAGUGUUCCUGGCUUCGUCAGCUGCUUCAUGAGUUGUCUUGCUCUGUUGACCGUGCCGCGGUGGUCUACUGCGAUAACGUCUCGGCGGUCUACCUCUCCGCUAACCCGGUGCAUCAUCGACGGACCAAGCAUAUUGAGUUGGAUAUUCAUUUUGUUCGGGUACAGGUGGCUCUUGGUCAUAUUCGUGUUUUACACGUCCCUACUUCCCAACAAUUUGCAGAUAUCAUGACCAAGGGCUUGCCUACGGCGUCAUUUGAGGAGUUCCGGUCCAGUCUUUGCGUCAGCCGCGGUGCCGCUUCGACUGCGGAGGGGGAGGGGGGAGGGGGUGUUGAGGAUAGUAUUUGUGCAUGUAUAUUGUCUUUUGUACAUUAGGCCCACCUCUCUAGUUGUUGUAUAGAUUGAGGUAGAGACCCCACAUUGUACUUACAUAUACCAUGCAUAUUGCACCGAAUCAAUACAUCGUGUAAUUCAUACAUCUAAUACUCACAACGUCUCCAUUAUCUGUAAGUUCGCAGCAAAGAUUCUGCAGCACAGCGACGCGCCUUGCUAUAAUCGGUUUGCGAGUUUUCGCUGUCUACGUACAAUACCCGUGGAUAAUCAGAAUGGUGAUACAGCAAUCUGGAAAUGCCUAAAAACUUCCUUUCGGCUGGGUCAACCACGUGUGAGCUUGGCAAUGGCACCCACAUUUCCUUCUGGUUUGACAAAUGGGUUGGGAGCGAAAUCUCCUUCCCAACACUAUUCUCUUCCGCUAAGAACUAAAUUUUGCACGAUGGCAUCUCAGUUCCAAGGAGGGCACUGGGAAAUACAACCGCAUCCAAACCUUUGUGCUUCGGCCCCGAGGGAGCUUGAGGCGCUGAUGGAGUUGCUCAACGGCAUUGAGCCACAUGACACUGAAGUUGGCCUUUGGGCAUCGGCCAAAUCUUCCCAGGGACUCCAUGAUCUAUUUCUCUCUGCCGCGGCUUGCACCUUGUUUGGUGCUCGCGCGGUUUCUUUAUGGACGGCCCGGAACGCGCUAGUGUGUUUGAGACCGCGGCUCGAAUGCUAUCUGAAUUGGCUGAACUUGUCAAGCUUUGGAGCUCGCGUGCUGCCCGAGAGGAAGACAGGCAUGCCAUGAUGUCUUGGGUUGAUUCUCUGAGAUAGAUUGUUACGCUGAUCUUCUCCCACACUCUGCACCCAACCUUGUUUUUUCUUUUCGUUGUUAUCGCUCUUGUAAAGCUUUUUGUCUUACGGUUUGGUGAUAACCGGCCACACACUUUAUGUGUGUUAAUAUCACCUUCAUGUCAGUUCAAAAAAAAAAAUCACCUUCAUGUAAUUGACUUCGGUCAUCCAGGCUCACCCAAUGUUUUGAAUGCAUAAGUUACGCGAUGUAACACCUAUGCUGCAUAUAUAUUUUUAAUUUUUUUUAGAAAUGGAGGAGGACCCCCGGCCUCUGCAUCUAAACGAUGCAUGGAGUCACUUUAUUAAUUAUUCACACAAGACCUGCAAAGUCAUACAACAGUAAAUUAAAGCCACCAUCUAUGCAACAUCUGUCGCUACUUCUAUCCAGUUAAUGAAGGGAUGCUAAUAGUCUGGACCUAAUACCAAACAGACCUCACAGCCAAACCUAACAUCUAAGACCUGAGGUCCCAACCAGGACGCAUGCCGGAUAUGGGGCACCCACCAGUCCGGCGCACUCCUCAACCAGGACGCCUGCCGGGCAUGAGGUCUCCGUAGCCACCUGCCAUCAAUCCAUCUUUAGUGUUGUGCUGCUGCAUCUACCUUGCUUGGUCUAGCUGCCGUCGACGCCGGACAACGCCAUCAUCCUACGCUCGUCCAUCAUCACAUGCUCACCGACGAGACCCCGCUGCUCCAUGCCGCUGAGACCCGCCGUUGUCGACGUGUCAGAUGCCACGCCGCUCCUCUUCUUGUCCCCUCCAACCAGCACUUGCUCCAAAACGAUGCCCCCAAGAGGGAGAACGACAUCGAAAACAUCGUCAUCGUCCGAUCCGGUAGACCCAGAUCUGGGGUUUCCCCAGGAACCUCCCGAUCAGGUUAACGUGACCUGCAACGACGAUGCCUCGAGAAGGGAACGACGUCCGAGACGCCGCCAUCGUCCGCCAUGACCGCAGUCAGGCGUGAUUUUCACCGGAAGCCACGUCGUCCCGAUCUUGCGGCUGGUUGGAACUGAGUGGAGCCUCUCCACGAAGACGAACGCCGUUGUCGGUAAUCCGGCGGAGAUCCGUCAUCUCCUCACCUGUCCCUCCACGCGCCGUCGGUCGGCGGAAGGCCAUCCCGCGGCGGAUCCGAUCGGGGCGUUGGAUCCGCAGUCACCGCCGUCACCAUCUCCGCACAGAUCAGCCACCCCGCCGGAUGGGGCCUGCCACCGCCGCCGUCCAUCGCAGGGCCGCCGCUCCGCCGGCUUAUGGCGCUUCGGCCACCGCCGCACGGCAUCGGUUCGCCGCCCCAGCCGCUGCCUUCGGAUCCCAUGAGAGGAGCCGCCCCUGCCGCCUUAGAUGAGAUCUCGUCGCAUCCACCCGCCCAGGUGCCUUCGGCACCGGGCCGCCACCACCGCGGCCCACACCGGCGGCAGAAGGAGAGGGAGGGGGAGGCCUGCGGUGCUAGGGUUUGGGAACCCCUGGCGUCGCCCAGGGGGAGGCGACGUGAGGGGGAGUUCCUAAAGUUUGUGAGAAAGCCCUAUGCUGCAUAAUGAAUGUCGACCGCCUAAAAAAGGGACGCAUGUAAAAGAAUUAACCCGCUUUCAACUUUCAAGAGAAAUAAACAAUUCAAUGAUAAAAUAAUAAUACUAGUCUAUUAUGGUUCGGGAGGAGGUAGCAGGAUCCACUCAAACACUAAAGUGAAAGUGUGUUGAAUCAAGAGUAGAUAGUAAGCACCUUUAUUAUGAUCGUUUCAUUUGAAAUAAUUGAGCACGGGCUUAUCUGGUCAAAACGUAUCUUGUCUUUAUCACUUUGUCAUGAGUUAUUUUCCUUGGUUAAUGAUACUUGUUGUUUUGAAGAUAUUUGCAGGUUCAUUAAUUUUCUUUCUACCUCAUAAGGGAAGCGAUCUACCUUUUUAUUCAGAAAAAAACAAGAGAUCGCAUAAGGAUUCGUGUGCAAUGACAAGCUUGUUAUGAAAUAUUCCAUGAAGUACAUGCGAGCCCACGACGGUUCCCUGAGUUUGUUCCCCUCUCCGAUCCCAGCAGGAAACCCGGACGCGGAUUUUUAGAGCUUAGGCUCAUGGACACCUUCUAUCCAUACCAUCUAGUAUAGCAUUGAGAUCCGUGCUAGACAACUAACUUACUGCGUGAAUUUUUCUCUUUUUUGUUGCUUCCAAAUAAAACAACAUAUGAACUUCAAACUUUGCAAGAUAGCAAAACAUUCUUACUACAAUGAGAGAAAAAACUUACAGAUUUUUUUGACCAACAUAAAUAUACAAAACAAGAUUUUCUUUAUUCAAAAAUGUUAUUUUUAGUACUUAUGAUGCACAAAAAAAUCUGAAAGUUUUUUCCCAUAGUCUAGUUAGAAUGUUUUGUUGUGCUGCAAAGUUUGAAGUUCAUAUGUUAUUUUAUUUGGAAGAAACAAAAAAGAGAAAAGUUCUUGCACGAAUCGCGAUGUAGAAAUGGAUGGCUAGAUAAGGGGGUGCACCUAAGCCUAAGCUCUACAGAAUAUUUUCCCAGGAAAUGGAUGCGGAUUUUUAGAGUUUAGACUCAUGGACACCUCCUAUCCAUACCAUCCAGUAUAGCUUUGAGAUCCGUGCUAGACAACUAACUUACUGCGUGAAAUUUUCUCUUUUUUGUUGCUUCCAAAUAAAACAACAUAUGAACUUCAAACUUUGCAAGAUAGCAAAACCCCCCUCCCGAUUCCGGCUAGAAUUACAAUCUACCAUCACAAUUUAGGAUUUUACUCUAGAAAAGCAAUCCUCUUCUCUUUAUAUAGUCGGACAACCGCCUUAAUUAGCUAGCUUGAGAAGAGAGGAAGAUCUAUGCACAUGUAGGAGGAGGAGGGCGCGGGCGCAACUAGGUUUCACGACGACGAAGACCGCUUAGAAGAGUACGACAACGUGAAGGAGCGCGCCAUCUUCGGCGCCUCGCUGACACCGCAGGCGCUGCCCCUCUUCAACGAUACUCCUCCGAGCUGGGUCCUCCUCGACGUCUCUGCCUACAUAGCUGACACCGGCGAUGACGCCGCCGACACCAUCGCCAUGCCAUAGAGGCCACCAUGGUCGCCGCCCGCCCGCCGCUGGUCUCCCACAUCCGCGUCAACUGCCCGGGCCUCAAGCCCACGCGCUUCACCACUGAGCCCAAGGUCUUCGCCGCGGCGGACGGCCUCUUCUUGCUCGGCGUCGUCGUCGGCCACCAGUCCCUGUGCACCCAGCCGGACAUGUUCGACUACUUCGUCUACCAGCCCGUCGCGCGUUCGCUCACGCUUCUCCCGCACCCUCAUGGUUGCUUCGGUCUCAGGGACGUGGCCCUCCUGCGCUGCAGCCCGAACAACUCCUCAUACAUCAUCGCGUUCCUCAAGGGCACACAGGGUGUUAGACUUCGUAUUGUAGCCCUACUGUGUAAACCAUACCUUAUUGGUAUUGGACUUGUAUGUCAUCAUUAUAUAUAUGUGAUAGGCCACCCCUUUGAGGGUUGAGCCAGUUCCCCCAAAACCUAUGUUUUACAUGGUAUCAGAGCCUGCUCGCCUGGCUUCAGCUCUACGCACUCAUGGGUUCAUUCCUUCGACGGCUGAUACUUCACUGUUUUUGUUUCAGCGCCCGAGUGUGACCAAGUACCUUCUUGUGUAUGUGGAUGAUAUUGUCCUGGUGAGCUCAUCUCCGACGGCUGCUGAUGCUCUUGUGACUGCACUUGGUCGUGAUUUUGCAGUUAAGGAUUUGGGACAACUUCAUUUCUUCCUGGGUAUUGAGGUCGCUCAUCAGUCUCGUGGCAGUUUGGCUCUCACCCAGAAGAAGUACUCUCUUGAUCUCUUGCGCCGUGCUGGUAUGCUCAAGUGCAAGCCAUCGCCUGCGCCCAUGUCCUCCACUGACACCCUUUCUGCUCCUGAUGGUGUUCUUCUCUCUCCUGAGGAUGCUACUGAGUACAGGAGUAUUGUUGGUGGCUUGCAGUAUCUGACGAUCACACGUCCUGAUCUCUCCUUUGCAGUUAACAGGGUGUGCCAGUAUCUUCAUGCUCCUACUGAUGUACACUGGUCUGCUGUGAAGCGCAUACUGCGUUAUGUGCGUCUCACUGUCUCCUUUGGUCUUCACCUGCGCCCCAGUUCCUCCGGAGUUCUUUCUGCAUUCUCUGAUGCUGAUUGGGCUGGGUGUCCAGAUGAUAGGCGAUCCACCGGGGGGGGGGGAUGCUGUGUUCUUGGGUCCUAAUCUGAUCGCUUGGAGUGCACACAAUCAAUCCACUGUUUCCCGCAGCAGCACAGAAGCUGAGUACAAGUCGGUUGCCAAUGCGACUGCCGAACUUAUAUGGAUUGAGUCCCUACUUCGAGAGCUAGGAGUUGCUCAGCCACAUCCUUCGGUCCUUUGGUGUGACAACAUCAGUGCUACGUUUCUGUCAUCAAACCCGGUGUUCCAUGAACAGACUAAACACACUGAGAUUGACUAUCAUUUGUGAGGGAACGCGUUGCACAGAAGCUACUACAAGUCAGGUUUAUCUCUUCAAAAGAUUAACUGGCAGACAUCUUCACCAAGGCUCUACCUUCUCCCAUGUUUGAGGUCUGUAGGCGCAAUCUCAACCUCCUAGAUACUUCAGGAGUGAGUUGAGAUUGAGGGAGGGUAUUAGACUUCGUAUUAUAGUCCUACUGUGUAAACCAUACCUUAUUGGUAUUGAACUUGAAUGUCAUCAUUAUAUAUAUGUGAUAGGUCACCCAUUUGAGAGUUGAGCCAGUUCUCCCAAAAUCUACAUUUUACACGGGACAUGGCGUAUAAGCUCCACCGCUUCCACUCCAAGAGCAACACCUGGACCAUGAGCAAGCUGGAGCUUGGUGCCACUGCCGUGAACCCUGCCCUGGACUCCGUCUUCUUCUGUAUCAGCAAGGUGUUCACUCUCGGCGGCGGCGGUGGUUUCGUGGGCUGGGCCGACCUCUGGCGCGGCAUCCUGCUCUGCGACGUGCUCCUCGACGACCCGGAGCUCCGCCACGUCCCCUUGCCGCAUGCCUUCAGUGAGCGCAAGUGGGACGCCGUCAUAACCAGGGACAUCGCCGUUGUCGACCAAGGUUGCAUCAAGUAUGUCGACAAGCGGUCUGACGAACACUCCGGUGGUGGCCGGACACUCACCGCGUGGAGCAAGAAGAUCGUCAGCAGACAGCCGUGGAAGGAGGAACAAUGGCGCCAGGGCUGCGAGUUGAGAUCUUCCGAUGUCUCUGUCCUCUUGCCGCCAUUGCCGAGGCCCUUCCAUAUGCUCAUGACAGGCCACCCUGUUAUAAGCUUGCGGGGCGACGACGUCGUCUACUUGAUGAGCAAGGAGAGCCUCAGGGACGACACGGCGUGGGUGGUCGCCGUCGACAUGAGGAGCAAGUCGUUGCAGGAAGCGGUUGAGCUUGGCGGUGCCGCGAGAUCAAUAGGCAUAAGCCGCACCUAUAUACAAAGCAGGAUGGAUCUCUGGUCAUCCGAAGAUCAUCCCAGGUAAUUCUACCUUGAAUCUGCUGGGCUUCUCUUAUCUGCACAAAUCCGACAAUUCGGUCGGUUGGCUCAUUUUAGUAGUUUUAGAACAUUUUGGAAGAUAUCUGAAUGGUGGUGUAAUUGAUCACUGCGUAUUUAGGGGGUGGAAAAUCAUCCAUGAAUUUUAGCUUUUUUGUAAGAAGGCAGUUCGGAUGUUGUGUGAGACUGAGGUUAUAUACAUGGGCAUCAGACACUGUUCAAUGUUCUUGUUAUCACGUUCUGCCUUUUUUUCUCUUCCAGUAAGUCUAUCAUAUCAUUAAAAAAUGGCACACCUACGUGCAACUUAAAUCCCCAACUAAUGGCCAACAAAAACCUGCCAAAUCAGCUCAUAUGUAAGAUAUAGUAUUGCUCCAUAUCAUUUGACACUGGCCAGUGUGUCUCAAAAAAAAAGAAACACUGACCAGUAUGUCUAAAAAAGUAGCACUGGCUAGUGAGCUAACGAGAAGAUGCUGCAAUGGGAACAUUUCGAAAUGAUUUGAGUUGUAUUACAAAAUUCCAAAAAAAAGGUAAGUAUGGCAGACUCCAAGCACAGCAGAAGUAACCUUCUUUAGGUCAUUGAUCAGGACACGUGAGGUGAUGCAAAUUCAAAAACAAUUCGUGAUUUUUUUAGAAUUAUUCAUUAAUUAAAAAAAUGUUCAUGAAUUCAAAAAUAGAGAAAUAUGCAAAUUGAAACACAUGAAUUAAAAAAUGUUCAUAAAUUUGAAAAACCUGUUCAUGAAUUCAAAAAACAUUUGCAAAUUGCAAAAAGUGUUUGUGAAGUAAAAAACAAAUCAUGAAAUUUAACAUAUUCAAGAAUUCAAAAAAGUACUUAUGAAUUCAAAAAGCAUUCACAAAUUGAUAAAUGUUCAUGAUAUUAAAAUUGAUUGUGAAUUGUAAAAAUAUUCAUGAAUCUUUUUUUAUCAACUUUAAAAUGUUCAAUGGGGAGAAUGAGAGUUCUACCAUUGAACUGAAUGACUCCUUUGAUGAGACCAGCAUGCGUUUUGUGCGGCGCAUCCAGGAGUCUGAGGUGAAAGAGGCUUUAAAAAGGAUGAAAUGAGGCAAGGCGAUGGGCCCUGAUUGUAUCCCCAUUGAGGUGUGGAAAGGUCUCGGGGACAUAGCGAUAGUAUGGCUAACCAAGCUUUUCAACCUUAUUUUUCGGGCAAACAAGAUGCCAGAAGAAUGGAGACGGAGUAUAUUAGUACCAAUCUUCAAGAACAAAGGGGAUGUUCAGAGUUGUACUAAUUACUGUGGAAUUAAGCUGAUGAGCCAUACAAUGAAGCUAUGGGAGAGAGUCAUUGAGCACCGCUUAAGAAGAAUGACAAGCGUGACCAAAAAUCAGUUUGGUUUCAUGCCUGGGAGGUCGACCAUGGAAUCCAUUUUCUUGGUACGACAACUUAUGGAGAGAUAUAGGGAGCAUAAGAAGGACUUGCAUAUGGUGUUCAUUGACUUGGAGAAGGCCUAUGGUAAGAUACCGCGGAAUGUCAUGUGGUGGGCCUUGGAGAAACACAAAGUCCCAGCAAAGUACAUUACCCUCAUCAAGGACAUGUACAAUAAUGUUGUGACAAGUGUUCGAACAAGUGAUGUCGACACCGAUGACUUCCCGAUUAAGAUAGGACUGCAUCAGGGGUCAGCUUUGAGCCCUUAUCUUUUUGCAUUGGUGAUGGAUGAGGUCACAAGGGGUAUACAAGGAGAUAUCCCAUGGUGUAUGCUCUUUGCGGAUGAUGUGGUGCUAGUUGACGAUAGUCGGACGGGGGUAAAUAGGAAGUUAGAGUUAUGGAGACAAACCUUGGAAUCGAAAGGGUUUAGGCUUAGUAGAACUAAAACCGAGUACAUGAUGUGCGGUUUCAGUACUACUAGCUGUGAUGAGGAGGAGGUUAGCCUUGAUGGUCAGGUGGUACCUCGGAAGGACACCUUUCGGUAUUUGGGGUCAAUGUUGCAGGAGGAUGGGGGUAUUGAUGAAGAUGUGAACCAUCGAAUCAAAGACGGAUGGAUGAAGUGGCGCCAAGCUUCUGGCAUUCUCUGUGACAAGAGAGUCCCACAAAAGCUAAAAGACAAGUUCUACAGGACGGCGGUUCGACCCGCAAUGUUGUAUGGCGCGGAGUGUUGGCCGACUAAAAGGCGACAUGUUCAACAGUUAGGUGUGGCGGAGAUGCGUAUGUUGAGAUGGAUGUGUGGCCACACGAGGAAGGAUCGAGUCCGGAAUGAUGAUAUACGAGAUAGAGUUGGGGUAGCACCAAUUGAGGAGAAGCUUGUCCAACAUCGUUUGAGAUGGUUUGGGCAUAUUCAGCGCAGGCCUCCAGAAGCUCCAGUGCAUAGCGGACGGCUAAAGCGUGCGGAGAAUGUCAAGAGAGGGCGGGGUCGACCGAUUUUGACAUGGGAGGAGUCCGUUAAGAGAGACCUGAAGGAUUGGAGUAUCGACAAAGAGCUAGCUAUGGACAGGGGUGCGUGGAAGCUUGCUAUCCAUGUGCCAGAGCCAUGAGUUGGUUGCGAGAUCUUAUGGGUUUCACCUCUAGCCUACCCCAACUUGUUUGGAACUAAAAGCUUUGUUGUUGUUUUGUUGUUGUUGUUUAAAAUGUUCACGAACUUUAAAAAAAUCGUUAGCCCAUUUUAUUUGUAAUUUGCUAUCUAGCUAAGGCGGAUGCGUAGUUCCGUCAUAUGACCUUUGAUUCUUGACGAGUUCAAACAAGCCAUCGAUAGCUAGGAUCUCAAAGAGGUCACCCUUCUUCUUGUUCAUAAAACCUAUUCUUGUUUGAAACUUUUUUUCUUCACUUCCUGGAGCAUGGGGUGUGGCAAGCCACACAUCCAAGGGGGCAUGGCCGCAUGGGGUGUGCUAGCUAUUAAUAGCCAAAACACACUUACAUGUAGUGUCGGAAGCCAAUAUGUAGAACACGAACCAUGGAAUGAUUAACAAUAGCGAUAACAUAAUCAUGAAAAAUAUCAUCAAGAAAUAUGAUAUGUUUAGGAGAGCAAAAACAGGCUGAACAAUCCCUGCCACAUAGCCGAAUGGAUGGUGUGUUAUUGCUUCCGUAGCCAAAUGGAUAAUGUGCUAUAGCCUAUAGGGAGCAAUAGCCAACUGAGAAGUUACAUCGGCAACACGUUUUAGACCAAAAAAAUCAAUUUUUAGACAAUCUCCUCUCAAGCAGUCGACUGACCCAGUUCCCUCUCCCAUGGCAGUGCGCGAGGCAUCCCACACCGGCGACGACCUCCUCUCAGCCGCUCAUCUCUCCAUGAUCCCGGGAUCCGCCACCAGCCGCUCGUCUCCUUCCCCUUUCUAUCGUAUGCUCUCUCACCGGGGCAAUUACUGCUUUCCAAUUUGUUAUAAGACUGUUAGUCUACGUUUGUUCACGUCCAUCAAAUAAAAGUUUUUCAUCUAGUUUCUAGAGAGCAUUUUUUUUGGGUUUUCCUGUUUUAAUCUGGUUUGUGAGAAAAAACAUAAAUCUUUAAAAUGUUAAUUUUUUUGAAAUAUACUUGUGAAUUUAAAAUAUGUUCACUAAUUCAAAACAUGUUUGUGAAUUUGAAAAGACGUUCGUGAAAAAAAUUCAUUGGUUUGGAAAAAGGUUUGUGAAUUCCAAAAAAAUUGUGAAUUUUAAAAAAUGUUCAUGAAUCUAAAAAAUGUUCAUGAGUUCAAAAAUUGUAUGCAAAUUUGAAAAAUUGUUCAUGGAUAAAAAAUCAUGAAUUUGAAAAGCAUGUUUAUUAAUUCAUUUUUUGCAAAUUGGAAAAUUAUACCGAAUUUGAUUUUUAUUUUACACAUUUUAAAUUAUUCAUAAAAUUUAAAAAAUGUUUGCAGGGCUAUAAAAUGUUCAUUAAUUGAAAAUUAUUUGCAAAUUUUAAAAAAUAUUAUUGUUAAAUAUUCAUGGACCUGAUUUUUAAAUAAAAUUUAUCAUCAUUAUAAAAUGAUAUGGAAUUUGAAAAACGUGAAUUUCAAAUGUUGUAGUUUUCCAGAAAAAUCAUGCAUUUUAUAAAUAAUGCUAGAAAAAUAAAGGAAAUUGUGAAAAUGCAAAAAAAUAGAAAAUAGAAAUAGAAAAUUGAUUGAAUAAAAUGGGAAAGCAAUGGAAACAUAAAGAAUGAAAGAAAACCUGCCCUGGAAGCUUCCGAGAACAGGACGGAAGCUUCAGGAACCACCUGCCUAGAAUUGUACCUGACUGUAAACCACUGUGGAGAGCAGUUAAAUGGGCGGUGCACUUCGGGAUUUUGGAGGCUGUAGGUCGCAGGACGGUCACAGAGAAUGAUAUAUAGCAUUGGCCUUUGGUGGUGUCGCUUCUCGAGUACCCGGUCUCGAGCUCCGAGGUGAAAACAUAGGUCUGGCCCAAGUUGGUUUUUGCGCCGUUACCUUAUUGAAAGCAUUGCUCGGAUAUGUUUGCACUAGUUUUUCAGGAUGAAAACCUAGAUUCUGGCCUUUGGUGGUUGCAUCUAGUGACGACGACCCUCCCUUCCUAAAGGCGUUGCUAUUGAAGAAUCCCAUCGUCCUUAUGUUGUCAUGAGAUAAUUGAUGCGAAUAUGAGGGUUUUUGUAGUUUUUUGACCGAGGAUUUGAUCGCUUCGAGGUUUUCUCUCUUGCCUAGGUAUAACUUUGGUCUUAUAAUACUUUGCUAUUUGCCGAUGUUUUUUUUGUGUGUGUAGGUGUUGGUUGUGUGCAUCCUAUCUAUGCAUACGUAGGAUGUGUGCUCAUUUUGUUUGUAUCUUGGUGCUGCAUUUCGUGUAAAUUAAAUUCAUCCUUUGUCAAAAAAAAUACCGCUGACUGUUUAUUCCCCUCUUAAACCUUUCCCAAUUUUAUUUCUAAGAAAUUAAACCUUUCACAGUAAAAAACGCGGUAUAGCAGCGCCUCGGAUGGGCAACCUGCUAGGAGCUCCUAUCUGACAAUAACUGCGGUAAAAUGUCGAGGGAACACACAGGCGGGUCUCCCCGACUCAUCUAGUGACGACGACCCUCCCUUCUUGAAGGCGUUGCUAUUAAAGAAUCCCGUUGUUCUUAUGGUGUCAUGAGAUAAUUGAUGCGGAUAUGGGGGUUUCUGUAGUAUGUUGACUAAGGAUUUGAUCGCUUCGAGGUUUUCUCUCUUGCCUAGGUAUAACUUUGGUCUUAUAAUACUUUGCUAUUUGUCGGUAUCUUUUAUGUAUGUAGGUGUUGGUUGUGUGCAUCCUAUCUAUGCAUAGGUAGAAUGUGUGCUCAUUUUGUUUGUAUCUUAGUGCUGCAUUUCGUGUAAAUGAAAUUCAUCCUUUGUCAACUUUUUUUACCGCUGGCUGUUUAUUCCCCUCUUAAACCUUUCCCAAUUUUAUUUCUAAGAAAUUAAACCUUUCCCAGUAAAAAAUGCGGUAUAGCAGCGCCUCGGAUGGGCAAACUGCUAGGAGCUCCUAUCUGCCGCUAACUGCGGUAAAUUGUCGAGGGAACACACAGGCGGGUCUCCCCGACUGGGCCGGCCCAUGUGGCUCUCCCAUUCCGGCUAGCGAAGAAAGUACAACACUCGCUCGCAAAACAGAAUGCGCCAAGCAGGAUUCGAAAACAAGACCACGUGCUUCACAAGUAGUACUCCUUCCUCUUGAGCUAGCAAGCUAGGUGUUUUAAUGGGCAGCACAAAUACUUCGGAACAAAGCCAAGCACGCAUACGAACGUUUUUCAAAUGUUGAACGCAAAAUAUUAUUUUGGAGAAAAAGUGAAUUCUAUAUGAAACCGCGAACACUUUCUGAAAUUGUCUAUAUUUGAAAAAACUCAAACAUUUCGAAAAACACAAACAAUUUCUGGAAAUGGAAACAAUUUUUAAACUGCCCCCCAAAAAUUGAAAAUACGAACAUUUUUUAGAAAACUAGAAUUUUUUUGAAUGGCAAAGCAGUUUGUGGAUACGCAAAAAAUUUUAAAAAUGGGAACUUUUUUUGAAUCUCCCAAAAAAAAUUUUGAAAACAUCAACAUGUUUUUAAACUCCAGAACAAAAUUCAUAGCACAAAUUUAUUUUUAAAAUUGCAAACAAUUUUUGAAAUCCCAAAACAAAAUUUGAAAAUAUGAACAUUACUUAACAAACCAUGAACAUUUUUUAAACUCCCAAACAAAAUUUGAAAACCCAAAUAUUAUUAUAUAUUUUAGAUUUUCAUAAUACUGAACAAAAUUUGAGAAGUUGUGAAAUUUUGAACAAAUUUUGAAUUUCUGAACAAUUUUUCAAAAGCACGAAUUUUUGAAUGUUUGAAUACAAAUUGAAAAUGGAAACAUUUUUUAAAUUGUUGAACAAAUGAUGAUAAAUCAAGCAUUUUUUGAAAUUUAAGAACAUUUUUCCCAAAAAUACCAAAAAAGUACAAGAAAAAAGAGAGAAAAGAAUAAACAAACAGGUAAAAAGAAAGAAAGAAAAAAAGGUUAAGGAACCUAAUAGAAGGUUCCCAAAACCGGGAAAAACUGGCUGGAACCUUCCAGCAGGUUCCGGAAACCGGGAUCGAUGGAACGCUUCUAAUGGGCCGGCCCGUCUCGUUCGAUCGCUAAGAAAGAGUGUGCGGUACCCCGACACUUUGAUGCAGAGUGUGUCGUAUAGGAUUUGGUAAAUGUUUGGGCGCGGUGUGCCGGCCGAACUUUCAAACGACUCGCACACCACGCUGGCGCAACGCGCAAUACGUAGUGGCCUCGCGCGACCCGCCUCCUUUCCUAUGCGCCUCCAUCCCCAACCUCCAGCCUACACGUGCGCGCAUCCCCUUUCCCUCCUUCCGGGAUGUGACUGGGCCACCACGAGCUCCAUCGCUGCCCCGCCGGCCGCCAUGGCUGCUUGUCGCCAUGGGCAGAUCGAUCCUCUACCUACAGCCUUCACGCGCGCGCAUCCCCUUCCCCUCCCCCGGGCUGUGACUGGACCACCACAAGCUCCAUCGCCGGCGGCCAAGCGCUCCCUCAUUGGCCGCCAUGGCUGCCUGCCGCCAUGGCCAGACCCAUCCCCUACCUACAGCCUUCACGCGCGCGCAUCCCCUCCCCCCUCCGCAUGGACUGCGACUGGACCACCACGAGCUCCAUCGCCGGUGGCCAGGCGCUCCCUUGCCGGCCGCCAUGGCCGGAUCCACCCUGCGCAUACAAGUGUUGCAACCGUCACCUAGAAUAGUUUCAACAACUGUUGAAAAAAGCUUCAACCAUAGACACAGAAAGCUUCAAUGGCACUGCACAACAAGAGGAAGCUGCAACCAUAGUUGGAUUUUGCUACUAUCGGCGAUUUUUUUGCUACAUCCAUCAGGCAGAGCUGCGACUUCGUGACGACUACAGCAGCGAUUUUGCUGCAACCGUAGUAGGAUUUUGCUACUACCAUUGAAGGUUUUUGCUACAUCCAUUUAAGGCGGAGCUGUGACCUCAUGAGGGCGGCGACGACGUUUUUGCUGAACCCAUAGUUUGAUUUUGCUACUACCGGUGAAGUUUUUUUGCUACAUCCAUUCAAAUGGCGUUGAUUGACUGGCGACCGUCGUCGACGUAAUUCCCUGCAGCGAGCAUCAAUGGCGAGGGGCGGCGGCAGAGCUACAACCGAGAGCAACAACCGUCGCCGUCAAGAGCUGCAACUGCAAGUGGACCUGUUGCAUGGGUCGAGGCAACAAUGAGGGCGGGAGGGUGGGGACCGGCGACGAGGACGGCCGGUGAGGUCGGGGUCCGGCGGGCGACGAGGAAGACCGGCGGGGGUGAGGACUGACGAUGAGGACGACCACCAGAGGGGACGGAGGCGCGGCGCCGCGCUCCCCGAGCGGGACAUGCGGAUCCACCCCGACUGCCGGAGGAAGAAGCUGGGGGUGAUUUUUUUUUUGCCUGAAUCUAACGGUCGCGCAGCUCAUAUCGAACGGCCUAGCCUGGACCGGCCGAAACUUUCGCCCGGCCCGCCGCCGCCUAUAAGCGCUUAUAGGAUUUUCCCAACCUGCUGUCUCACCCCGACAUGGGCCUUGCCCCGCCGCGCGCCCCACCUGGGCUAGUACUAUUUGACUAGUCGUCGAUUCCAAACUCUUUUUCUUUCUUGACUAGUCGUCUUUUGGCACCUUGAUCUAGCAGGAUUCUAUCCACUCUUCUGAUCUUCUGAUUCUAUCCACUCCUCUGAUCUUCUCCCGCGUCCGCAGGUGGUUGAGUAGUUAAAACGAUGGACAGAUCCUUCAUUCUCUCGCAGGUUGGUUGCAAGAAGAGGCGCCACCAUAAGAGUGUGCCAUUUGUUCCAAAAAUAAAACCAUAAGAGAGUUACAUCCUACCAAUUAGCUCUCCAGAGAAUCCGAACGGGAGGAGCUAAUAAUAUCCUCGCAGCUACCGAUCUGUCCGAUCAUGGGGACGAGGCGUGCCGCCCUCUGCUUCCUUCUGCUCCUCGUGAUCAUCUUACACGGAAACCCUACACUCAUUUCGGCGGACGGUUCGUAGCCUCCAAAUCCCAUUUAUUUCACUCUGUUACAUUACAUAUGCAUGGCCAUUUCUUCUUCUGCUGGUUCAUUCAUGAGAAUAUGAUGAGAUCGUGUGAGGCUAUGCAAGUUACCUACUGAUUCGAUGUGUGGACGAUCUGUAAAUGUGCGCCCGUGUUCUUCAGACGCAGAGGUGUGCAAGUACAGGAAUCCGUACGUGCCCUUCUGCCACGGCUGGAGCUGCAAGGCGGAGUGCUGGAUCGAGGCCAAAAUCUUCAACGCCCGUCUACAGGAGUACAGGUGUAUCAGGGGCGGCAUCAAGGGCACCUGCUACUGCCUCUUCUGCGGGAACCACAUGAGGUUCCUCCACCUCCACUGAAAACAUCCCACGACCGUCUCGAUAUUCACUUCUCCGGCAGGAAUUACCCACUAGAAACCGAUAAUCCCUUGUCUCAUAAACCAAUUACAACCAGUUUAUUAAGAUAGCAGCAGCAGAUGUAGUACCUACAGUAGUUAAGAACCUAAGAUAUAGUUAGUCUUAGCAGGUUGGAGAUUGAAUUCUGUUUUUAUUUUUGGCUUCCUAGAUGGCUACUACGACUGUGUAAUUUCUUGCUUCAAUUAAUAUUAUGGAUUCUUACAAUAAACAUAAUUACAUGAUGGUAGCUUCCUAACCGAAAUGCUCAGAAAUGCUUGAGAGAUUCAUGCUCGCAAGUGGAUGAACUAACAGGUUUCCGCUGGAGUGGGUACAUGAAACUACGGAUGUCGGUAUGUCACAUCAUAAAAAAAGGAUUAAUGUCAAUUCAAGAUUAAUCAUUUGUGCCUAUUGUUUUCCCUCAAAAUUAUUAACAAAUUUUUCGGGUCUAUACACUCAAAAGAAAAAUCUGAUGGCGUUUUUUGAUCUCGAAAAUUAUGAAGUAUAUAGUAUGCAGAUGAACAUCCUACGUGUAAAACUUAAACCCUCAAACAUACAUUUCUGGAAUUCAAAAUAUUUGGGUCUUAUACUCAUGCCCUUGUGAUAAAAUAAACGUUUCAAAAGCCAGAAGUUAGAGCAUCUACAGCCGGGCUCUUCAAACGCCCCCUAUAUGUCUAGACGGCCGGCAUGUUCUAUGACCAGUCACAAAAAUGUGACCCAAGCACACUUCUCAAACCGGCCAUAUACGUUCGGCUGACAGGCACCUCUCAUAUUUAGCCCAAAUCUGGGGCGAAUACGAGGCCCAGGCGUGCUCAAGCGCAUCCACCACACUGGACUGACGUACGGACCCGCGUGGGCAGCGGUUGUUACCUAGCAGUCCGACAAGGACACCGCUCCGGCAAGCCGCCCGAGGUGACAAAUCCGGCUAUUAAAGCCGGAGGGCGACCCCCGAUCGUAGCAAUAGUCCCAUUUCCCUCCCUUUGGCGCCGCCACCCACCACAUCUGCUCAUAGCUUGUUGUCUGCUUGUAGCUCUGGCCCGGGAGCAGAUAACCAUGUACGACGCUCACUCCAGAGCGCCGAUUGUAGCUCCUAGAGCAGAUCUGGGCCCGAUGUGCCACUCGCAUUGUAGCUGACCUGCCUCCAGACUCUCCGGUGCAUGAGGAGGAGGAGGAGGAGGAAUGGGAAGGCGAGGCCGGGUCGGCGCUUCCAGUUGCCAGAUUCGGUAUGGGCAACACACAAGCAGAGUAUGAGGUCGUCCAAGAGGAGGAGGCGGUGGGGCGCGACCAAUUCUUCGUGGACAUGGAGUCCGACGAAGAGCCGAAGCCGCGGGCGGUGGGGCCAAUGACUGGGAGGCAUGUUGGUCCGGUAGUGCUGACAAUGAGUUCGUCUACAUCUCUGAUGACGAGUAGUAGGAAAGUUUAUUUAUGCAGUACUACAUAGUUUUUGUGUUGCAUGGUGUGGUAUGGAUUUGAGGUAUGAAGUUUGAGGUGUGUGGUUACACCAGACGCAAAAUGGGGAGUGACCGGGCCCUCUACGUAGACGCACCCGGACACAUCAUUGGACGCAUUGGGGGCGGAUUAGUUAGGUCCGGUUGUAGAAGCUCUCAUUUAUACCUUACCUCAAAAUAUCUUCGGCCAUCGAUUUCUUGGUUCAUAUUUCAAAGCUUGUUUCUAGCUCAAUAUGUCUUCGAGGAUCGAACAUGCCCCUUACUAGGUACUGCCUCUGUAAAGAAAUACAAGAGCGUUUAGAUCAGUAGUGAUCUAAACGCUCUUAUAUUUGUUUACGGAGGGAGUACUACUUACUACUAGUAUUCAGUUGUCGACCACAUACUCGUGAUACGUCCAUUUUGCAUCAUGCUUUCAUAUUGAUAGUUACUGGAUUAUGGGUGUUAUCACACAUUAUAUCACAAUACUUAUGCCUAUUAUUUCUUAUUUUGUAAGGUUUACAUGAAGAGGGAGAAUGCCGGCAGCUGGGAUUCUGGACUGGAAAGGAGCAAAUAUUAGAGACCUAUUCUGCACAACUCCAAAAGUCAUGAAACUUCACGGAGCAUGUUUUUGGAAUAUAUAAAAAAUAUUGGGUGAAGAAAAUACUAGAGGGGGCCCACCAACUAGCCACAAGGGUGGAGGGCGCGCCCUACCCCCUUGGGCGCGCCCCCCGACCUUGUGGGCCCCCUGGCAGGCCUUUGGUGCCCAUCUUUGGCUAUAUGGUGUGUUUUGACCUGGAAAAAAAUAGAGAGAAGUUUUUGGAACGAAGCGCCACCAUCUCGAGGCGGAACGUGGGCAGAACCAAUCUAGGGCUCCGGCGAAGCUGUUCUGUCGGGGAAACAUCCCUCUGGGAAGGGGAAAUCAUCGACAUCGUCAUCACCAUCGAUCCUCUCAUCGAGAGGGGUUCAACCUCCAUUAACAUCUUCUCCCGCACCAUCUCCUCUCAAACCCUAGUUCAUCUCUUGUAUUCGAUCUUGGUCCCAAAACCUCAGAUUGGUACCUGUGGGUUGCUAGUAGUGUUGAUUACUCCUUGUAGUUGAUGCUAGUUGGUUUAUCUGGUGGAAAAUUAUAUUUUCAGAUCCUUAAUGAUAAUUAAUAUUCCUCUGAUCUUGAUUAUGAAUAUGCUUUGUGAGUAGUUACGUGUGUUCCCGAGGACAUGGGAGAAGUCUUGUUAUAAGUAAUCAUGUGAAUUUGGUAUUCGUUCGAUAUUUUGAUGAGAUGUAUGUUGUCUCUCCUCUAGUGGUGUCAUGUGAACAUCGACUACAUGACACUUCACCAUUAUUUGGGCCUAGGGGAAGGCAUUGGGAAGUAAUAAGUAGAUUAUGGGUUGCUAGAGUGACAGAAGCUUAAACCCUAGUUUAUGUGUUGCUUCGUAAGGGGCUGAUUUGAAUCCAUAUGUUUCAUGCUAUGGUUAGGUUUACCUUAAUUCUUCUUUCUUAGUUGCGGAUGCUUGCGAGAGGGGUUCAUCAUAAGUGGGAGGCUUGUCCAAGGAAUGACAGCACCCGAGCAUCGGUCCACCCACAUAUCAAAUUAUCAAAGUAAUGAACGCGAAUCAUAUGAGCAUGAUGAAAACUAACUUGACAAUAAUUUCCAUGUGUCCUCAGGAGUGCUUUGCUUUAUAUAAGAGUUCGUUCAGGCUUGUCCUUUGCUACAAAAAAGAUUGGGCCACCUUGCUGCACCUUAGUUACUUUAUUUACUUGUUACUCGUUAUGAUUUAUCUUAUCACAAAACUACCUGUUACCGAUAAUUUCAGUGCUUGCAGAGAAUACCUUGCUGAAAAUCACUUGUCAUUUCCUUCUGCUCCUCGUUGGAUUCGACACUCUUACUUAUCGAAAGGACUACGAUAGAUCCCCUAUACUUGUGGGUCAUCAAGACUCUUUUCUGGCGCCGUUGCCGGGGAGUGAAGAGCCUUCGGUAAAUUGGUACGGAAAUAUUUAUAUAGUGUGCUGAAAUUUACUGUCACUUGUUGCUAUGGAAAAUAAUCCUUCGAGGGGUUUGUUUGAGGUUCGACCGGAACCACAAUUAGGUAAUCCUCAACCUUCUGCACCUACUGAAAAUAUUUAUUAUGAAAUUCCUUCGGGUAUGAUAGAGAAACUGCUAGCUAAUCCGUAUGCAGGAGAUGGAACAUUACAUCCUGAUAUGCAACUAAUUUAUGUGGAUGAAGUUUGUGGAUUAUUUAAGCUUGCGGGUAAGCUCGAGGAUGUUGUCAAGAAGAAAUUCUUCCCUUUAUCUUUGAAGGGAAAGGCAUUGACAUGGUACAGGCUAUUGGAUGAUAUUGGAUCAUGGAACUACAACCGUUUGAAAUUGGAAUUUCAUCAGAAGUUUUAUCCUAUGCAUCUGGUUCAUCGUGAUCGGAAUUAUAUAUAUAAUUUUUGGCCUCGUGAAGGAGAAAGUAUCGCUCAAGCUUGGGGGAGGCUUAAGUCAAUGUUAUAUUCAUGCCCCAAUCAUGCACGGUCAAGUUUUGGCGACACAUCAAUCUGUUGGCAUAUGGUAGCUUUGCCAACACAUAACUUGAAGCUAAUACAUAUCCUGACAGAAGAUAAAAGAGUCGGAGGACUUGCCGUGGGCAAAGGUAUUGCCGACAGAAGUUCACUUGCUGACACUUUUCUAGUUGGCAUACACCCUACCUAUGGAUCUAGGGCUGGAGCUCAGGGGAUUGACUACAACGGAUUGAGGACGGGGUGGAGUUUGAGGCUGGCGGCGGGGGAGUGCGAGCUCCGGGAAGGCGGAUUGAGGACUGUGCGGAGCGCGAGGCCGGCAGCGAUGGCGAUAGAGGAUUGGAUCGAGCGCGACAGUGGCGGCAGCAGGCAUGGGUUAGGGUUGGGUUAGAUUUGGGGUAUUUUUCACAAGGGAAGGGCAUUUUGCACUUGAGGAUUUUUUCCAUGAACAUGCGAAAAUUUCGCUCGCCCGCCGAAAUCACGCGCCAGGUUUCUAACCUUCUGAUGAUUGACAUGUGUCCACUUACACUGACAGUUAAUCUGAGCGCAUAGACCCUACCUACGCCGACACAUUUUAGGUCACUAAAUACAUAGCUGCGUCGACUGAAAAACUGUUAAGGCCAACACAUAUGCCGACACAUAGCACGUCACUAAGCAAUUACUGACAGACACGUUGUUGCUUUAUGGUUGCUGACACUUAGUGUGUCAAUAAUGAUAUACCUUUGCCGACACUUGAUAUGAAGACAAAAGUUAAAAGCUACGCUGACAGAUAGUUUGUGAAGAUUAGUUGAUCUUUGCCGACAGAAGUGUGUCACCUAAGCUCUACCGUCGUGUAGUGUCAAGAGAAAUUAUUAUUCAAAUUUUUUAUGCUCGGCUUUCUCAUAAUGAUCGAUCCAUACUCGAUACUUCUUGUAUUGGCUCCUAUAUGAAGAAGGAUAUUGAAUUCAAAUGAGAUUUAUUGGAAAGAAUUAAACGCAACUCUAAAGAUUGGGAACUCGACGAAGGUAAAGAGUUAGGUAUAAACCUUAAGUUUGAUUGUGUUAAGUAUUUUAUGGAUACCGAUGCUUUUCGUGAUUUUAGCACUAAAUAUGGAGUUGACUCUGAUAUAGUAUCUUCUUUCUGUGAAUCAUUUCACUACUACAGGAUGCUGCUAACGCGACACUACGAUCAGAGACCCUUCGAUGAAACUGUGUGCGAUGCAAUAAUCGCAAACAGUGGUGUAAAAAACCGUCAAAAAAGGUGCAAAACGUUUGCGAUUGUGGGAUGCAUCAAACACGGUUCGGUUUUUUAGUUGCUUGUGCGAUGCAGGGCAUACGGUUCAGUUCAAUUAACUGUUUGCGAUGAGGAGGAACAAAAGAAACGGGCAGCCAUGAAGGUGUGUGCGAUAUACAGCAUACGGUUUACUCGGAUGAAUUGUUUGUGAUUAGGAAACACAAAAGAAACGGUCAGCUAGAUCAAGGUGUGUGUGAUAUACGGCAUGCGGUUCACUCGGAUGAACUGUUUGUGUUGAGACAAGAGAACAGAAACGGUUCAAUAUAUCAAGAUGUGUGUGAUACGCGACAAACAAGUCUGUAAUCAGAAAUGUGUGCGAAGACCGAUAAUAACACAUCGGAUUGCUUCUAAUAAGACGUAUGUGAUAUGCUCUGUCUACACAACAUCUAUUGGCCAUUGGGGGACGGGCGGUCAUCCGGAUAUGUGAUAUGCUCUGUCUACACACCAUCUCUUAAUUUAACCUCGAUGUCCUUGUUUUUAUGUUUUUAUUUUUAACACAUGUUAAAGAAGGUCUAUCGCAUUACUUUUUGACAAUGUGCGAUACGUGGCAUACAGUUGAUCCAUCCGACCUGUUUGUGAUGGAAUAAGUCAUGUGUGUUGUGGGCAAACGCUUGCUAGUAUUGAUUGCUGAAUUCAUCACCGACGGGUUCCCUAGUGUGGUCCGUGUUCAUCUGAUCAUCAUCUACUUUUUGCGCUAACUCGAUGUUCCUUCUAUGCUAAGAUUCCAUUAAUUGAUGGAGUUUUAUGAACAUGCCACCGUUUCCUGCCAUUUUCUCACCUGUUUCCCGCCGCCUAGCGAUAUUGUGCAUAAACCUAGGCGGCGCACGAUGCAUGGAGGUGACAAGCGCAGCUUGUAGCACAUCCACAUUUUCCAAGCAUGUCAACCCACCAAAGCACCGCCUCUGCCAUCAACCUCGUCGACGAGGAAAACGAGCAGGCGCCACGGCCCGUCGAGGCCGAGGCGCUCCCCGGCAACGCGAUGGACGAGGCUAUGAUGCGCAUCAUCACCAGGGUUGAGCAGACCUCUGGUGCAUGGCGCUUGAGCGCCGCGGAUCAAGAUAGGCAUGUCAGCGCCGAUAGGCUGCAGCUCGCCGCACAACAUGAUCGAUGGCGCGCCGCAAAGCAAGCUAGGUGCGUCCGCGCCGAUAGGCUGCAACUUGCCGCACGACAAGACCAUUGGAACGCCGCAGAGCGAGAGGCGCAACGUGCCGCACAGCAAGAGCGGAUCCAUCGGCGCUUGCCUGCUGUCGACACAGCAUCGCAGCUAGGUACACAUCCCGUCAGUACCCCCGUUUGUCGCCAGGGGUGGGCAGAGGCCCUCAGCGCCGUACUUGCACCAGAGGCCGGCCGCUCCAUACUUGCACCAGACGCCCGCCGCACCGUUCGCAUGGGUGGCACCAUUCGCCUUGUCCGCGGCCCGCUAGAUGCCAAUGCGCUGGUCUGUAGGCUUGACUGCCUCCUUGGCCCAGGUGUCCACCUGGGUGCAGUAGAGGAACUUGGCCAUCGCAUCCUCGAGUUGGUGAUCACCGAUGAAAUAGACAACUUUGAGCUCGAGAUCGCGUUCCAGAUGUACCACGAGCGUGUCGACCGCUUGGAUGAACGCUGCACGAGUUCAGGCAAAGCCAAGAGCUACCGUAGGCAAGAGAUGCUGGUCAUGGUCUCAUGGACGCGUUUUAUUUUGUUGUGUUUUUUCGACGUGGAUAGCUAUGUAUUCACAGCAAUCAUAGUAUUGCUCUGUUUAUUCCUCUGUUUCAAUGUGUGUGCUCUAUCUUCUGUUCUUAUAUGUUCUGUUUCAAUGUGUGUAUAUACGCUUUCCAUUCUGUAUAUGUGGAUGAUAACAGCUAGAUUCAAAUUAGUAUACAAAAAUAGAUAAAAAAUGGAAUACAUAAUAUAUAUAUAUAUAUAUAUAUAUAUAUAUAUAAUGUCAUCACAUAUACGUGAUGAUACUUAACUACUAGGUACAAUGCAUAAAAUUGAAAACAAACAAUAUUAAAACCAAGGUUGUCAGAAUCGCGAUUUUAAAUCGGAUCGGAGCUCUGAUGAUAGAAUCGUAAAUCAUAGAAUCUUCACUACGAGGAUCGUAGAAACGUAGAUUUUAUGAACUAAAAUCGUAGAAUCGGAUGGGUAAGUUUGGAUCGUAAAGUCGUACAAUCGUAUAACAGAAUCGCGAUUCUAACAACCUUGAUUAAAACUAAUAAUCCCUCUCGGGGCCAGUAUUUCGGCAGCCCCUCACCAGCAGCUCCCUGGUGCGCGGCGUCUUCCGAGUGCGGAGGCACUACUCUGCCUCCUCCACCUCGCAGCGCUUGACGUAUCAAUCUGCCUCUUCCUGGCGGACGCGCGUGAACGAUCUUGCCAUUUCGUUGGGCGCCCACCGGAGCUCCUCGUUGUUGGCAUGCUAGAGCUUAUCGGCCCACCUCCACGCAAUGACGAGGCGCUCAGCGCCUAUGACCUUCCUCACGAAGUACCGGUCUUCGUACACCUCGGCACGACGACGCGCCCACCCGCAAAGCUCCGCCGCCUCCUUUUUCCAGGCGACAUCACGGGUUUCACAGGCCGCCUGGUACCUGGCUUCCUCCUCUGCCAUCUCCUUCUUGAAUGCCACUUGCCUCGCUUUCUCAGCCGAUGGCAGCGACUUUCACAGACAAAGAUUGUACUGACCCCAAAACCAAUCCAAAGUUGGGGUGUCCAGCGCAACCUCAUCCGGCGGCGCGUAGGGGUCCUCGUUGCUGCUAUUCGAGUGAGCGUCCUCGGGGGGCGGCGACUCUUCGUCGGCGCGUAGAUAGACGGGCGGCGCCAUGGCAGAGAUUUAAGAGAGAGAGAGAGGGAGAGAGAGAGAGAUAGAGGGCGAGCGAGGGGAGGAUGUAGAUGAGAAUGCAAGCGGGGCGACGUGAGCAAGGUAGUAUUUAUUAGCGGCCAGAAUCUACAUCAACGGGGACAGUACACACGCAGGUCACCGAAAUUUACGAGUACUGUAGUUUGAAUUACACAUGAUUCCCGCAUCAAAAUCCAUGUGUGAACAUAAUAGCUGACGGUUUCCAAUACAGAACCGUGUCUGAUUAAUGAUCUCGUNNNNNNNNNNNNNNNNNNNNNNNNNNNNNNNNNNNNNNNNNNNNNNNNNNNNNNNNNNNNNNNNNNNNNNNNNNNNNNNNNNNNNNNNNNNNNNNNNNNNNNNNNNNNNNNNNNNNNNNNNNNNNNNNNNNNNNNNNNNNNNNNNNNNNNNNNNNNNNNNNNNNNNNNNNNNNNNNNNNNNNNNNNNNNNNNNNNNNNNNNNNNNNNNNNNNNNNNNNNNNNNNNNNNNNNNNNNNNNNNNNNNNNNNNNNNNNNNNNNNNNNNNNNNNNNNNNNNNNNNNNNNNNNNNNNNNNNNNNNNNNNNNNNNNNNNNNNNNNNNNNNNNNNNNNNNNNNNNNNNNNNNNNNNNNNNNNGGGCGGUUGUCUUGCCACAUCUUUACAUUUUCUUUUUGGAACACUAGAUAUUUACAUCGUCUGAUGAUUUUUUAACUCGCACACAAGUAUACAAAAAUAUGAUUUCUCAAACCGUUAUAGUUAGGCAUUGCAUGUAGAUGUAGUUCAAAUUUGAAUUACGGUCAUUAAAUAGCUAGAAAAUCACUUGAAUGUCUUUAAAAGGUCAAAUGACACCUGAAAUUUUCCAAUUUUUCACAUUACAGUUGUAUUAGUGCACGUUAAACAUAGAAAAAAAUUAAAAGCCGUAAGAGGAAGCUAUCUCACGUUCGUCAUCAAAUAUGCAUUAUUCCCUCUCGGAACCACGAACCUUCUAGUGAGUUGCUCCGGUUUGUGAGGGGUGUGUGUCCAAACUUCCUUCAAACAGACCAAUUUUUUUACCAUAUUAUCUUGGUGACAUGACAUUAAAUCAAGCAAGGUUUAAUGUUUUUCUAAUCAUUUUUUAAUUUUUUGGAAUUAAAAUACCAUGACACUCCAUGCAUGUGCCCAUGUUGUGAGACCAAUAUGUUUGAAAAUUCCUUCUAAUUUACAGCACAUGGAAUUAACUCACACACAAGUACACAAAUAUGAUUUUUCAAACUGUUUUGGUUAGGUGUUGCAUGUAGAUGUAGUUCAAAUUUGAAUUACGGUCAUUAAAUGGUUAGAAAAUCACUUAAAUGUCUUUAAAAGGUCAAAUGACCCCUAAAUUUUUCCAAAAUUUCACAUUACAGUUGUAGUAGUGCAUGUUAGACGUAGAAUAAAAUUGAAGGCCGUAUGAGGAAGCUAUCUACUGUUCGUCCUCAAACAUGCAUUCCGAACCACAAGCCUUCUAGUGAGUUGCUCCGGUUUGUGAGGAUGUGUGUCCAAACUUUCGUCACACAUGCCAAUUUUUUAACCACAUCAUCUGGGUGGCAUGACAUUACAUGAAGCAAGGUUUCAUGUUUUUCUGAUCAUUUUUUAAUUUUUUGAAAGUAAAAUGCCAUGGCACUCCAUGCAUACGUAUGCAUGUGUCCAUGUCGUGAGACCAAUAUGUUUGAAAAUUCCUUCUAAUUUACUGCACAUGGAAUUAACUCGCACACAAGUACACAAAUAUGAUUUUUCAAACCGUUAUGGUUAGGCAUUGCAUGUAGAUGUAGUUCAAAUUUGAAUUAUGGUUAUUAAAUGGCUAGAAAAUCACUUAAAUGUCUUAAAAGGUCAAAUGACCCCUAGAAUUUUUCAAAAUUUCACAUUACAGUUGUAGUAGUGCAUGUUAGACGUAGAAAAAAAUUGAAGGCCGUAAGAGGAAGCUAUCUCUCGUUCGUCAUCAAACAUGCAUUGUUGCCUCUCGGAACCACGAGCCUUCUAGUGAGUUGCUCCGGUUCGUGAGGGGUGUGUGUCCAAACUUUCGUCAAACAUGCCAAUUUUUUACCACAUCAUCUUGGUGGCAUGAGAUUACAUCAAGCAUGGUUUUAUGUGUUUCUGAUAUUUUUUUAAUUUUUGGAAUUAAAAUGCCAUAUCACUCCAUGCAUACAUAUGCAUGUGUCCAUGUCACGAGACAAAUAUGUUUGAAAAUUCCUUCUAAUUUACUACACAUGGAAUUAACUCGCACACAAAUACACAAAUAUGAUUUUUCAAACUGUUUUGGUUAGGCGUUGCAUGUAGAUGUAGUUCAAAUUUGAAUUAUGGUCAUUAAAUGGCUAGAAAAUCACUUAAAUGUCUUUAAAAGGUCGACUGACCCCUCUAAAAUUUUCCAAAAUUUCACAUUACAGUUGUAGUAGUGCACGUUAGACGUAGGAAAAAAUUGAAGACCGUAAGAGGAAGCUAUCUCCCGUUCGUCAUCAAACAUGCAUUGUUCUCUCUCGGAACCACGAUCCUUCUAGUGAGUUGCUCCGGUUUGUGAGGAGUGUGUGUCCAAACUUUCGUUAAACAUGCCAAUUUUUACCACAUCAUCUUGGUGGCUUGACAUUAUAUCAAGCAGGGUUUCAUGUGUUUCUGAUUUUUUUAUUUAAUUAAAAUGCCAUGUCACUCCAUGCAUACAUAUGCAUGUGUCCAUGCCGUGAGACAAAUUUGUUUAAAAAUUCUUUAUAAUUUACUGCACAUGGAAUUAACUCGCACAUAAGUAUACAAAUAUGAUUUUUUUAAACUGUUAUGGUUAGGCGUUGCAUGUAGAUGUAGUUCAAAUUUAAAUUACGGUCAUUAAAUUGCUAGAAAAUCAGUUAAAUUUCUUUAAAAGGUCAACUGACCCCUAGAAUUUUCCAAAAUUUCACAUUACAGUUGUAGUAGUGCACGUUAGACGUAGAAAAAAUUGAAGACCGUAAGAGGAAGCUAUCUCCCAUUCGUCAUCAAACAUGCAUUGUUCCCUCUCGGAACCACGAGCUUUCUAGUGAGUUGCUCCAGUUUGUGAGGGGUGUGUGUCCAAAGUUUGGUCAAACAUGCCAAAAAAUUUACCACAUCAUCUUGGUGGCAUGACAUUACAUCAACCAAGGUUUCAUGUGUUUCUGAUAUAUUUUUAUUUUUUGGAAUUAAAAUGCCAUGUCACUCCAUGCUUAAUUGUGUCUUAGUCGUUAGACCAAUAUGUUUGAAAAUUCCAUCCAAUCUACUGCACAUGGAAUUAAAUCGCACACAAGUACACAAAAUAUAAGUUUUCAAACCGUUAUGGUUAGCUGUUGCAUGUACAUGUAGUUCAAAUUUCAAUUACGGUCAUUAAAUGGCUAGAAAAUCACUUAAAUGUCUUAAAAGGUCAAAUGACCCCUGAAAUUUUCCAAAAUUUGACAUGACAGUUGUAUUAGUACUACAAAAUUUCUCGUACAUUUAAAACACCAUUCGUUGCCACUUUACUCCAAAUUCGUCUUUCACUACUAAUAAAAAAUAUAUACAACAUCACAGACAGUUGUUUUCUAGGAACCGUUUGCGAUGAAAAUAUCUGGGUCUAUUUAAGUCUCCCUCCUUAAGCUUCACCGGCUUGUCUGCUCCAGUGCCGGCAACCCCCGAAUCCAUGAAUCCAGAUCCCCUUUCCUACACCCCCUUCUUGCAAAGAUGACGCUGUGGAAACGCUUCGUGAAGGCCCGUACGAUGGCCGCCGCCUGCGCCGAGAGCGCGUCCGCCUAUGCUGAGAGUGCCGCCCAUCCGCAUUGAGCACGGCCGCUUCCUCCGGGAGGGCGUCUAUGGCACUCGACAGGGCAGUUGCAGCAGCCGAGACGGCUGCAGCUGCUGCUGCGAUGGCGGCUACAAACGUCGAGAGUGCUCGAGUUGCCGUCCAUGCCGCCGAUGUCGCCCUGGCCCGGGUCGAGGCCAUCCACGCCAAGAUCGAGGAUGCACACACCAAGAUAUUCCAGGCCACCUCGGACUCCAGCAUGCAACCUGUUGGGGAACGUAGUAAUUUCAAAAAAUAUCCUACGCACAUGCAAGAUCAUGGUGAUGCAUAGCAACGAGAGGGGAGAGUGUUGUCCACGUACCCUCGUAGACCGAAAGUGGAAGCGUUAGCACAACGCGGUUGAUGUAGUCAUACGUCUUCACGAUCCAACCGAUCAAGUACCGAAUGCACGACACCUCCGAGUUCAGCACACGUUCAGCCUGAUGACGUCCCUCUAACUCCGAUCCAGCCGAGUGUUGAGGGAGAGUUUCAUCAGCAUGACGGCGUGGUGACGAUGUUGAUGUUCUACCGACGCAGGGCUCCGCCUAAGCACUGCUACAGUAUUAUUGAGGUGGACUAUGGUGGAGGGGGGCACCGCACACGGCUAAGAGACGAUCAACUUGAUCAACUUGUGUGUCUAGAGGUGCCCCCCUGCCCCUGUAUAUAAAGGAGCAAGGGGGGUGCGGCCGGUCAAGGGGAGAGGCGCGCCGGAGGAGUCCUAAUGGACUCCCCUCCUUUUCCUAGUUGGAUUAGGACUUGGGAGGGGGGAAGAAGGAAAGAGGGGGCCGGCCCCUUUUGCCCUAAACCAAUUCGGUUUGGGCCUUGGGGGGGGGCCCACACUUCCCUUGCUUCCCUCCUUUUCCACUAAGGCCCAUGUAGGCCCAUUAAGCACCCGGGGGUUCCGGUAACCUCCCGGUACUCCGGUAAAAUCCCGAUUUCACCCGGAACACUUCCGAUAUCCAAACAUAGGCUUCCAAUAUAUCAAUCUUCAUGUCUCGACCAUUUCGAGACUCCUCGUCAUGUCCGUGAUCACAUCCAGGACUCCGAACAACCUUCGGUACAUCAAAACAUAAAACUCAUAAUAUAACUGUCAUUGUAGCGUUAAGCGUGCGGACCCUACGGGUUCGAGAAUUAUGUAGACAUGACCGAGACACGUCUCCGGUCAAUAACCAAUAGCGGAACCUGGAUUCUCAUAUUGGAUCCUAUAUAUUCUACGAAGAUCUUUAUCGGUCAGACCGCAUAACAACAUACGUUGUUCCCUUUGUCAUCGGUAUGUUACUUGCCUGAGAUUCGAUCGUCGGUAUCUCAAUACCUAGUUCAAUCUCGUUACCGGCAAGUCUCUUUACUCGUUCCUUAAUACAUCAUCACGCAAUUAACUCAUUAGUUGCAAUGCUUGCAAGGCUUAAGUGAUGUGCAUUACCGAGAGGGCCCAGAGAUACCUCUCCGACAAUCGGAGUGACAAAUCCUAAUCUCGGAAUACGCCAACCCAACAAGUACCUUCGGAGACACAUGUAGAGCACCUUUAUAAUCACCCAAUUACGUUGUGACAUUUGGUAGCACACAAAGUGUUCCUCUGGUAAACGGGAGUUGCAUAAUCUCAUAGUCAUAGGAACAUGUAUAAGUCAUGAAGAAAGGAAUAGCAACAUACUUAAACGAUCAUGUGCUAAGCUAAUGGAAUGGGUCAUAUCAAUCACAUCAUUCUCCUAAUGAUGUGAUCCCGUUAAUUAAAUGACAACCCAUGUCAAUGGCUAGGAAACUUAACCAUCUUUGAUUAACGAGCUAGUUAAGUAGAGGCAUACUAGUGACACUCUGUUUGUCUAUGUAUUCACACAUGUAUUAUUUUUCCGGUUAAUACAAUUCUAGCAUGAAUAAUAAACAUUUAUCAUGAUAUAAGGAAAUAAAUAAUAACUUUAUUAUUGCCUCUAGGGCAUAUUUCCUUCACAACCCACGUCCGAAAAGGCGGCGGUGGCCAUGGAGCACCUACUUCCUCAUGAGGUCGCCGAGCGGGAGCUGGAGAUGCAGGAGGCGGCGGAGAUCGAGGAGCACCGGGAGGAGGAGUUGCGCGUGGCCGAGGUCGGGGUAGAGAAGAGUCUGUCCGUCGAGGAAUCGACGGUGGAGUACCAAUGCGAGCUCUGGCACAACCACUACUACGAGUACUAAAACCUUGAGGGCGACGCCGAGGACGAUGUCGAGGACGCGGUCGACUUCAGCAGGGGGCGCGGAGUCCACCAAUAGCGGCAUGUCGCUAGGACAAGUCAUCGACAUCUCAUCUCACACCGGCGAUGCAUAGGCCGGCACGGUGGCGGAUUUGUUAAAAUUAUGCGUACUUAGGCUUUGUUUUUAAUGUUGGUCUUUUGUUAGAGCAAUGUUUAGGUCAACUGGCUCUGUUUAAUUACUAAAAUUGCUCGAUUCAGUUAGUGUGGUCUGUCUGCUGUAUGCUCUUUUGUGUGCCCAAAUUAGCAAGCGAUGUUAAAUUAUGCAAUGACGUACCCGGGGAAAUUUCCACCAAAAUUUGAAUUAUCAAACUCAUCCCAUGCGCGUAAAGCAGAAGAAUUGUUUGCGAUGCACACAAUCGUUCAAAGUGGAUGGUCCGGAGGCACAGCGCGCAAAGUUUCCCUCCACAUUUCCAAAAUUUUGGCCUACCGCCAAAAUAUCUACCCCGCCCCCCUUCCCCACCCCCUUUUCUCCCCGACCACAAGUCACAUUUCCCCUGUUUCCUCCUUCCUUCCUUCCUUCCUAAGCUAUCACUACUAGGGAAAAGCUUAUACAUAGGAUCUUACCAGCAGCAAGUUUUAAAUUAAGGCGCUGCUGCAAUGUAGCAGUACCGCGCUCCGGCAGUACUCGCUGUUGAAAUAAACGUAGCAGGAGCGCGCCUCCUCUAAGCCGCGCUACUGCUAUAAUUCCCACGACCCUGCCGUGNNNNNNNNNNNNNNNNNNNNNNNNNNNNNNNNNNNNNNNNNNNNNNNNNNNNNNNNNNNNNNNNNNNNNNNNNNNNNNNNNNNNNNNNNNNNNNNNNNNNNNNNNNNNNNNNNNNNNNNNNNNNNNNNNNNNNNNNNNNNNNNNNNNNNNNNNNNNNNNNNNNNNNNNNNNNNNNNNNNNNNNNNNNNNNNNNNNNNNNNNNNNNNNNNNNNNNNNNNNNNNNNNNNNNNNNNNNNNNNNNNNNNNNNNNNNNNNNNNNNNNNNNNNNNNNNNNNNNNNNNNNNNNNNNNNNNNNNNNNNNNNNNNNNNNNNNNNNNNNNNNNNNNNNNNNNNNNNNNNNNNNNNNNNNNNNNNNNNNNNNNNNNNNNNNNNNNNNNNNNNNNNNNNNNNNNNNNNNNNNNNNNNNNNNNCUGGACUUGGUACCGCCCUCCUCCUCCGUCCCCCCUCGACUCGCCACCGGCCAGCCCCUCCUCGCUCUGCCCUUCCUCCUCCGUCCUACUCUCUCCUCCCUCCUCCAGUCGCCCCUCCUUCUCCCUCCUCCCUCCUCCAUCCACAACCCCUCCUCCCUGCUACAUUUUGAUUUAGUAGGCUAGUUCAUAUGUAGCAUUUUGAUUUAGCUCAUAUGAUUUAGUUGAUUUAGUAGGCUAGUUGAUUUAGUUGAUUUAGAACAUUUUGAUUUAGUUGAUUUAGUGGGCUAGUUAAUUUAGUUGAUUUAUAGAACAUUUUGAUUUAGUUGAUUUAGUGGGCUAGUUGAUUUAGUUGAUUUAUAGAACAUUUUGAUUUAGUUGAUUUAGUAGGCUAGUUGAUUUAGUUGAUUUAUAGAACAUUUUGAUUUAGUUGAUUUAAUAGGCUAGUUGAUUUAGUAGGCAAGUUGAUUUAAUAGGCUAGUUGAUUUAUAGAACAUUUUGAUUUAACAAUUAUUUUUCUUUCCUGUGAAGUGGAUCGUUAAUCCUUGCUCAUAUUGCUUUAGGAAAAUGGCGCCGCCACCACCACCACCACCAUGUCGAUUGUGCAAGUCAAGGUGCGCCAGCAGCCUUGCAACUGGCAAGCUGUUCGGCAUCUACUUCCAGCCGAGUUUUCGUCAUGCAGCGGUAAGAAAUUAUAUGAAAUGUAACAACUAUUUUAUUUUUAAUCUUCGCAUUACUACAUUGUGUCAUUUUGGUUUUUUUACACAGAUUGUCCCAUGCAAUGUGAGGUUGAAAUUCAACAAGCUGACAGGAGACACUGUGACAUUUGAGGCUCCUGGGGGCCGUAUAGUAUGGAGGUCGAGAAAGGACGCAAUAUGUCGCAUAUUGGAGGAGAUGGAUGGGCCCGUUUCCUCGCCCACAUGCAUCUUACUGGUGGUGAGUUUAUCAGCUUCUCCUUUAGAGCAGAAAGACCCAAGCUGGCUGUCAUUUAUAUCAACCUGGUGGAAGAUGAUGAAGAUAAUGAGGACCCACUCGAUGAAGAUGAUGAGGACCCACUCGAUGAAGAUGAUGAGGACCCACUUCAUGAAGCCAUCGUAGCUCAAAGAAUGAGGUUGAGCGAGGAGGAGGUGUGCAACCUAUGGGACAUAAUUCCGCCACGUAUUGACUUUGUCGGGGUGCCAUUCGUGACCCGCCUGACAAGUACCAUGAUCGACAUGAUAUGGUAUGUUAUACUUACAAAUGCAAAUUAUCCGAUGAUAUGCUUAGUGUAGAGUCCAAUGAUAUGUUGUGUGGAAUCUAGUCGAUGAUAUGCUUUAGCGUAGAGUUUGAUCACAUGCUUAUUAGUGUAGAAUCUAAGGAACUAUUAAUAGUGUAGAUAAUCCAUAUAUACCUAUUUGCAAGAGUAUGUGCGAGGCUAUUUAUUAAUUGAUAUGUUUUACUUAUUCGGAAAUUGGCAAAGAGUCUAUCUGUGAGUUAUGGUAUCGAGCCUGAUGAAGAAGGCUCAGCUGGACUAUGCCUUACCGCAAGGGGCUCCAUCACAACCUGUACUUGCCGCGUGGACACGGACGGUCGUACACACUUAAACUCGGUUGGGUGGAAGAGAUUCCUCGAUGGCAAGAAUCUUCGUGUUGGACAAGCCAUCCUAAUUACUAUCAGGAACACCCACCGCCCAAGCUUGAGGAUGAUGAUCGUCUUCAAUAUCAUCUAGAACUACAUAUGUGUGUGUGGCUAUAUCAUCUAGAACUACAUAUGAUGAUCGUCAUCAAUAUCAUCUAGAACUACAUAUGUCAUCGAUAUGACCUUGUACUACUUGAGGAUGCAUGUUGACUAUACAUGAAAUUGUUAUCUAGUACUCCCUUCGUUCCAAAUUACUCGUCGUGGUUUGAACUAAAACCACGACGAGAAAUUUGGAACGGAGGGAGUACUACCUAGUACUUAUAAUGCUUUAUGAAAUUGAUAUCUAGUAGUAGUAUCUGGAAAUUGCAGUUUAUUGAAACCGAAACGGGGUAGGAGGCGGGGGAAAAUGAUGAAAGAUAUAGCUGUAGCGAGGUGCUAGGAAAUUGCUACAGCUAACUAAUAGUAGCGCAUUCCAGAAAAGCGCUGCUGAUAUAGUCAACAGUAGUAGCGCGGGUGCGGACCGCGCUACUACUAACAGUUAGCUGUAGCGCCGUAGUAGUAGUGUGGCUGCCCGCGCUGCUGCUAGCCUCAAAACCCGUGCUACUACUAGGGUUUUCCCUAGUAGUUAUAGCCGCUUCCUCGCUCUCGCCGUCUCGCAUCCUACCGUCGGGGUUGCCAUGGUCUUCUUCAAAGACCUCUCUAGUGGUUCCUCCUCCGGCGACGACUCCUUCACCACCCGGGUAUGCCGCUCUUCUCUCUCUCGGGCUAUGACUUGGAAUGAACGAUUUUUACCCGGCGGUCGAUUUGAGUCAUUUCUUCCUCUUGUAGCUUCCUAGGACCAUCAACGGCAACGAAUGGAGCGGGGUGGCUGAAGAUCUAUCAGCUCGUUAUCACCAUCAAUCUCCAUGCAUGAAGCUAGUUGCAUUUGAAUCUGUGGACAAUGGGAGGAAGUUUCUGGCAUGUGCAGAGAAGGUUAGACCCUCUUUCGUUGUUACAAAUCAUUUGGUAGAUGUGAUUCAGACACUAUCACAGUCCCAACCCAUUCAUACCACACCUUAACCAAACGCAUCCUAAGACAGUGUCACAGUUUGUACCUAGUAUCUUAAAUUAUUGCCAUCUCAUUAACGGUGCCAUUAGAAAAUUAUUUGGCACCGCUUCAGCAGUUUGUGCAGCCAACUUUGGUCCACACAUCUGAGCAGCCAAGCAGUAAAAUACAAAAUCUUUAUGGCACGAAGGAACUGGGCAUUGGAGCAACUACGUGCUCCGGAGUCCGGGUCCCUGAUUUUUUUGCUGCAUCAGCUCGCCAGUGCAGGGCACUGGUGCGAGAUGUAGCAACAGUUGUCUUUACCCCAGCUUUGGCAUACAUAGUGGACGGUCUUAGUGUUAUUAGUUCUUUGUUACUAAAUUUGUGCAUGUACACACCUCUUAGUAUCAAUUUGUUGUCAUCCAAACACUGUCGCUAUGCUGUUGCAGUUAUAUUUAGGGUUUUUUACAUCUAUGCCCCUGGUUCCUUAUCUCUACUCAUUCAUCCCCACACUCUUAGCUUUUGCUCAGUUUUCCACACUCCCUUUCCAGAAACACUCGGAAGAGGUCACAAUGGACGUCACCGUCGGGUCAAUGCUUUGACCGUUAACUCUGACGAGUGGGGCCGCGUUGGGCGGUGUAGCUGUUCGACCGUUGGGCCAUGGUUUUGUUGGGCCGUCCAUUGCAUUAAAUGCCUGCGCGCGCCGCCACGACAGAAGCCUGUUAUGCAUGCACCCAACAAGCCUUCCUGCAUGCAUCGAUGCGCGCUUCCGCGAUGCACCGAUCGAGCCUGCAUGCGCUGAUGCGUGCCGCCAUGAUGCACUGACCGAGCCGCUUUCGUGCACGCCAGCCGCCAUAGAUGCAGCAACGGUCGCUGCCGCUGGUUCCUCUCUUCUCGCACGCUUGUCUCCUCGAUUUAGAGCAUCAUUUUUUAUGAUUAGUUGCAGCCUUUUCGAUCCACUCGCAUCUGCACCCGUUUUGCUACGACAAAUAAAUUGAACAAAUAUGUUGUGGCUGCAUGCAUUAGCUAGGUGGCUACAUAUUUGUGGCUUGUGUAAAAAAAUAAGGGUUUGUUGUGGCUGCAUGCACUAGGUGGUUACUAACAAAGCGAGCUCUCUAAGAAAACAAUCAACAAACAUGUAGAUAGGGCCAACAAGCCCAUAACAUGAUCACAUAGUUGAAACUAGGAAGAACUUCAUAAUAGAAUAGAUAGAAAACUUAAUAAUGAAACUUGAUAAAAGGGCCAACAAGCCCGUAGAAUCUCCAACAUAGUUCAAUUACAACUUAACAUAACAUAGACUAAAAAGAAAAAUAGAUAGAGGGUUUAGAACCCUAGACGCCGCCUUCUCCACCUCGCUCCUCCUUCGGCCGCCCUUCACUGCUCCUCCGGGGCGUUGUCGAUGGGGUACGGAAGAGUGUGCAUGCGCGACAUGGUGGGGAAGAUGUUGGUGUACUCUGUGAAUAUGUUGUGGGUGGUGAAAGCGAUGAACUUGCAGCCACACCAAAACACCCGGCCGAGGAGGUAGAAGGCGUCGAAUGUGUUGGUGAAGUGGGCAAGGAGAGCAACCACCACCCUGUUUUGGAUGACCUCCUUGACACGGAACAUCCUUGGAGAUCCCCGCAGGGAGGUGGUGGUAGCCGAACGCGAGGAAGAACUCAGUGAAGUUCCUUGCGGUCCUCCACCUUGAUAUCGCCCACACACGUAGUGUGCGGUCAACGUACAUGCCACGAGGGUAGAGCCUCUCCGGCACGGUGGGUGGGAAGUGGUAGGUUGGUUCGGUGUACUGCAUGGCUGAGGAUGUGCUAGAAGAAGGAGAAGUGGUCGAAGAGCAAGAAGGACAGAUGGCAGAGAGGAUGGGAGAUGGAUGAGGGAUGGCAGAGGAAGAGGGUGGCUUAAAUAGCCGUAGUGCUAUGUGUUAUUUGGUCGUGGCAAUAACGGGGUCAAAUGUGAAGUAGCCUGCUACGUCUUGAGCUUGCGUUGGUUUUCCCCAAAGAGGAAGGGAUGAGGCAGCAGAGUAGCGUAAGUAUUUCCCUCAGUUUUUGAGAACCAAGGUAUCAAUCUAGUAGGAGCCCAUGCUCAAGUCCCUCGUACCUGCACAAAGCGAUAGCUACUCGCAACCAACACGAUUAGGGGUUGUCAAGCCCUUCACGGUCACUUACGAGAGUGAGAUCUGAUAGAUAGAAUAUUUUUGGUAUUUUUGGUAUAAAGAUGCAAAGUAAAAAGUAAAGGCAAAGUAAAAAAGCAAAGCAAGAUUAAAGUAAUGGAGAUUGAUAUGAUGAGAAUAGACCCGGGGGCCAUAGGUUUCACUAGUGGAUUCUCUCAAGAGCAUAAGUAUUCUACGGUGGGUGAACAAAUUACUGUUGAGCAAUUGACAGAAUUGAGCAUAGUUAUGAGAAUAUCUAGGCAUGAUCAUGUAUAUAGGCAUCACGUCCGUGACAAGUAGAUCGAAACGAUUCUGCAUCUACUACUAUUACUCCACUCAUCGACCUCUAUCCAGCAUGCAUCUAGAGUAUUAAGUUAAAAAUAGAGUACGCAUUAAGCAAGAUGACAUGAUGUAGAGAGAUAAAUUCAUGCAAUAUGAAAUAAACCCCAUCUUGUUAUCCUCGAUGGCAACGAUACAAUACGUCCCUUGCUGCCCCUUCUGUCACUGGGUAAGGACACCGCAAGAUCAAACCCAAAUCUAAGCACUUCUCCCAUGGCAAGAACUACCAAUCUAGUUGGCCAAACCAAACGGAUAAUUCGAAGAGACUUGCAAAGAUAACCAAUCAUACAUAAAAGAAUUCAGAGAAGAUUCAAAUAUUAUUCAUAGAUAGACUUGAUCAUAAACCCACAAUUCAUCGGUCUCAACAAACACACUGCAAAAAGAAGAUCACAUCAAAUAGAUCUCCACAAGAGAGGGGGAGAACAUUGUAUUGAGAUUCAAAGAGAGAGAAGAAGCCAUCUAGCUACUAACUAUGGACCCGAAGGUCUGAGGUAAACUACUCACACUUUAUCGGAGAGGCUAUGAUGAUGUAGAAGCCCUCCGUGAUGACGGCCCUCUUCCGGCAGAGCUCUGGAACAGGCCCCGAGAUGGGAUCUCGUGGAUACAGAAAGUUGCGGCGGUGGAAUUAGGUUUUUGGCUCCUGUUCUGAUAGUUUGGGGGUACGUGGGUAUAUAUAGGAGGAAGAAGUACGCCGGAGGAGCAACGAGGGGCCCACGAGGCAGGGGGCGCGCCCUAGGGGGCGCCCCCCACCCUCGUGACCGCCUCUUUUGUUCCUUGGAGCAGGGUCCAAGUCUCCUGGAUCACGUUCGGUGAGAAAAUCUCGUUCCCGAAGAUUUUAUUCCGUUUGGACUCCGUUUGAUAUUCCGUUUAUCUGAAACACUGAAAUAGGCAAAGAAACAACAAUUCUGGGCUGGGCCUUCAGUUAAUAGGUUAGUCCCAAAAAUAAUAUAAAAGUGGAAAAUAAAGCCCAAUAUAGUCCAAAACAGUAGAUAAUAUAGCAUGGAGCAAUCAAAAAUUAUAGAUACGUUGGAGACGUAUCGGGCAUCCCCAAGCUUAAUUCUUGCUCGUCCUCGAGUAGGUAAAUGAUAAAAAGAGAAUUUUUGAUGCGGAGUGCUACUUGGCAUAAUUUCAAUGCAAAUCUUCUUAAUUGUGGUAUGAAUAUUCAGAUUAGAAAGAUUCAAGACAAAAGUUUAUAUUGACAUAAAAAAUAAUAGUACUUCAAGCAUACUAACAAAGCAAUUAUGUCUUCUCAAAAUAACAUGGCCAAAGAAAGUUAUCCCUAUAAAAUCAUAUAGUCUGGCUAUGCUCCAUCUUCACCACACAAACUAUUUAAAUCAUGCACAACCCCGAUGACAAGCCAAGCAAUUGUUUCAUACUCUAACUUUUUCAAAACUUUUUCAAUCUUCACGCAAUACAUGAGCGUGAACCAUGGAUAUAGCACUAUAGGUGGAAUAGAAUGGUGGUUGUGGAGAAGACAAAAAGGAGAAGAUGGUAUCACAUCAACUAGGCGUAUCAACGGGCUAUGGAGAUGCCCAUCAAUAGAUAUCAAUGUGAAUGAGUAGGGAUUGCCAUCCAACGGAUGCACUAGAGCUAUAAGUAUAUGAAAGCUCAAAAACAAACUAAGUGGGUGUGCAUCCAACUUGCUUGCUCAUGAAGACAUAGGGCAAUUUUGAGGAAGCCCAUCAUUGGAAUAUAUAAGCCAAGUUCUAUAAUGUAAAAUUCCCACUAGUAUAUGAAAGUGAUAACAUGAGAGACUCUCUACUAUGAAGAUCAUGGUGCUACUUUGAAGCACAAGUGUGGUAAAAGGAUAGUAACAUUUUCCCUUCUCUCUUUUUCUCUCAUUUUUUUAUUUGGGCCUUUUUUAUGGCCUCUUUUUAUUUGGGCUUCUUUGACCUCUUUUGUUUUUCGUCCGGAGUCUCAUCCCGACUUAUGGGGGAAUCAUAGUCUCCAUCAUUCUUUCCUCACUUGGACAAUGCUCUAAUAAUGAUGAUCAUCACACUUUUAUUUCUCUUAUAACUCAACAAUUACAACACAAUACUUAGAACAAAAUAUGACUCUAUGCGAAUGCAUCCGGCGGUGUACCGGGAUAUGCAAUAUGACAAUGAUGAAUGUGUCUUGAACGGAAUGGUGGAAAGUUGCAUGGCAAUAUAUCUCAGAAUGGCUAUGGAAAUGCCAUAAUAGGUAGCUAUGGUGGAUGUUUUGAGGAAGGUAUAUGGUAGGUUUAUGAUACCGGCGAGAGGUGCACGGUAUUAGAGAGGCUAGCAAAGGUGGAAGGGUGAGAGUGCGUAUAAUCCAUGGACUCAACAUUAGUCAUAAAGAACUCAUAUACUUAUUGCAAAAAUCUAGAAGUUAUCAAAGCAAAGUAUUACGCGCAUGCUCCUAGGGGGAUCGAUUGGUAGGAAAAGACCAUCGCUCGUCCUCGACCGCCACUCAUAAGGAAGACAAUCAAUAAAUAAAUCAUGCUCUGACUUCAUCACAUAACGGUUCACCAUACGUGCAUGCUACGGGAAUCACAAACUUUAACACAAGUAUUCUUUAAAUUCACAACUACUCAACUAGCAUGACUUUAAUAUUAUCACCUCCAUAUCUCAAAACAAUUAUCAUGCUUCAAUCUUUUCUUAGUAUUCAACACACUCAAAAGAAAGUUUCACAAAUCUUGAAUACCAAGCAUAUUAUUGUUAAGCAAAUUACCAUGCUAUUUAGAGACUCUCAAAAUAAUUUAAGUGAAGCAUGAGAAAUCAAUAGUUUCUUUAAAACAAAUCCACCACUGUGCUCUAAAAGAUCUAAGUGAAGCACAUAGAGAAAAAUUAUAACGCUCAAAAGAUAUAAGUGAAGCACAUAGAGCAAAAUUAUCUAGCUCAAACUAUAUAAGUGAAGCACAUAGAGCAAAACUACUUAGCUCAAAAGAUAUAAGUGAAGCACAUAGAGUAUUCUAUCAAAUUUUAAUUCAUGUAUGGCUCUCUCAAAAGGUGUGUACAGCAAGGAUGAUUGUGGCAUACUAAUACACAAAUACACAAAUAAUACAAGACGCUCAAAGCAAAACACAUAUCAUGUUGGUGAAUAAAAAUAUAGCUCCAAGUAAAUUACCGAUGGAAGUGGACGAAAGAGGGGAUGCCUUCCGGGGCAUCCCCAAGCUUUGACUUCUUAGUGUCCUUGGAUUAUCUUGGGGGUUCCAUGGGCAUCCCCAAUCUUAGGCUCUUGCCACUCCUUGUUCCAUGAUCCAUCAAAAGAAUUCACCCAAAACUUGAAAACUUCACAACACAAAACUCAAAAUAGAAAACUCGUGAGCUCUGUUAGCAAAAGAAAACAAAAUACCACUUCAAGGUACUGUAAUUAACUCAUUCUUUAUUUAUAUUGGUGUUAAACCUACUGUAUUCUAACUUCUCUAUGGAUUAUAAACUAUUUUACUAGCCAUAGAUUCAUCAAAAUAAGCAAACAACACACGAAAAACAGAAUCUGUCAAAAACAGAACAGUCUGUAGUAAUAUAUAGCUAGCUCAAGAUAUGUAACCCCAAAAAUUUUAAAAUAACUUGCUGGACGUGAGGAAUUUAUCUAUUAAUCAUCUGCAAAAAGAAUUAACUAAAUAUCACUCUCCAAAUAAAAUUUACAGCAGUUCUCGGGAGCGCUAAAGUUUCUGUUUUUUACAGCAAGUUCAACAAGACUUUCCCCAAGUCUUCCCAACGGUUCUACUUGGCACAAACACUAAUUAAACACAAAAAACACAACCAAAACAGAGGCUAAUUAAUUUAUUUAUUACUAAGCAGGAGCAAAAAGCAAGGAAUAAAAAUAAAAUUGGGUUGCCUCCCAACAAGCGCUAUCGUUUAACGCCCCUAGCUAGGCAUAAAAGCGAGGAUAGUUCUAGGUAUUGCCAUCUUUGGUACGCAAUCCAUAAGUGGAUCUCAUGAUAGUUUCAUAUGGUAAUUUUAUUUUAUUUCUAGGAAAGUGUUCCAUGCCAUUUUUUAAUGGAAAUUGAAAUCUAAUAUUCCCUUCCUUCAUAUCAAUAAUCGCACCAACCGUUCUAAGGAAAGGUCUACCAAGAAUAAUAGGGCAAGAAGGAUUGCAAUCUAUAUCAAGAACAAUGAAAUCUACGGGCACAUAAUUCCUAUUUUAAACAAUAAGAACAUCAUUAAUCCUUCCCAUAGGUUUCUUAAUAGUGGAAUCCGCAAGAUGCAAGUUUAGAGAGCAAUCAUCAAAGUUACGGAAAUCUAGUAAAUCACACAAAGUCUUGGGAAUAGUGGAGACACUAGAACCCAAAUCACACAAAGCAUAAAACUCAUGAUCUUUAAUUUUAAUUUUAAUAGUUGGUUCCCACUCAUCAUAGAGUUUUCUAGGGAUAGAAACUUUCAACUCAAGUUUUUCUUCAUAAGAUUGCAACAAGGAAAUACAAUCAAUUAAAGAGCAACUUUCAUAAUUAAAUUCCUUGAAAUCCAAUAUAGUGGGUUUAGCAACAUCUAGGUUUUUAUUUCUUUCAGUCCCACUUUCAUCAAUUUCAUCAUUAAGAUCUAAAUACUCCAAAUUUUAGAAUGCCUUCUAGGUAAAGGAAGAUCAUAUUCGAUUUCAUCAAGAUUCAUAUUGCAAAACAAAGAUUUAAUAGGAGACACAUCAAUAACUUUUAGAUCUUCAUCUUGAUUUUCAUAGGUAUUGGAAGAACACGCUUUAAUAAAGGCAUCUUUGGAAGCAUGCAUCCUAGCGGUUCUUUCCUUGCACUCAUCAAUGGAAAUUCUCAUGGCUUUGAGAGACUCAUUGAUAUCAUGCUUAGGAGGAAUAGAUCUAAGCUUUAAAGAAUCAACCUCAAGAGAAAUUCUAUCAACGUUUCUAGCCAAAUCAUCAACUUUAAGCAAUUUCUCCUCAAGCAAAGCAUUAAAAUUCUUUUGUGAAUUCAUAAACUCUUUAACACUAGUCUCAAAUUCAGAGGGCAUCUUAUUAUAAUUUCCAUAAGAGUUGUUGUAGGAAUUCCCAUAAUUAUUAGAAGGAUUACUAGGAUAUGACCUAGGAUUAAAAUUCCCUCUAUAAGCGUUGUUACCAAAAUUAUUCCUAGCAACAAAAUUCACAUCCAUAGAUUCAUUGUUAUUCUCAAUCAAAGUAGACAAAGGCAUAUCAUUAGGAUCAGAAGAAACACUCUUAGUAGCAAAUAAUUUCAUAAGUUCAUCCAUCUUUCCACUCAACACAUUAAUUUCUUCUAUCGCAUGCACUUUUUUAUUAGAAGAUCUUUCAGUAUGCCAUUGAGAAUAGUUAACCAUAAUAUUAUCUAGGAGUUUAGUAGCAUCUCCUAAAGUGAUUUCCAUAAAAGUGCCUCCCGCGGCCGAAUCUAAAAGAUUUCUAGAAGCAAAAUUCAAUCCGGCAUAAAAAAAUUGUAUGAUCAUCCACAAAUUCAAACCAUGAGUAGGGCAAUUACGUAUCAUUAAUUUCAUUCUCUCCCAAGCUUGUGCAAGAUGUUCAUGAUCAAGUUGUUUAAAGUUCAUAAUAUCGUUUCUAAGAGAGAUGAUCUUAGCGGGAGGAAAAUACUUAGAGAUAAAAGCAUCUUUGCACUUGUUCCACGAAUCAAUACUAUUCUUAGGCAAAGACGAAAACCAAGCUUUAGCAUGAUCUCUAAGCGAAAAAGGAAAUAGCUUCAAUUUAAUGACAUCAUUAUCGACAUCUCUUUUCUUUUGCAUAUCACAUAAAUCAACGAAGCUAUUCAGAUGAGUAGCGGCAUCUUCACUAGGAAGGCCAGCGAAUUGAUCUUUCAUAACAAGAUUCAACAAAGCAGUAUUAAUUUCACAAGAUUCAGCAUCGGUAAGAGGAGCAAUCGAAGUACUAAGGAAAUCAUUAUUAUUGGUAUUGGUGAAGUCACACAAUUUGGUAUUAUCUUGAGCCAUCACGACAAACAAGCAAUCUAACACACGAGCAAACAAAAAGCAAGCGGGCAAAACAGGCAAAUUGAGAGGGAGGAUAGAGAGAGAGAGAGGGCGAAUAAAACGGCAAGGGUGAAUUGGGGGGAGAGGAAAACGAGAGGCAAAUGGCAAAUAAUGUAAUGCGAGAGAUAGGGAUUGUGAUGGGUACUUGGUAUGUUGACUUUUUGCGUAGACUCCUCGGCAACGGCGCCAGAAAUCCUUCUUGCUACGUCUUGAGCUUGCGUUGGUUUUCCCCGAAGAGGAAGGGAUGAUGCAGCAGAGUAGCGUAAGUAUUUCCCUCAGUUUUUGAGAACCAAGGUAUCAAUCCAGUAGGAGCCCACGCUCAAGUCCCUCGUACCUGCACAAAGCGAUAGCUACUUGCAACCAACAUGAUUAGGGGUUGUCAAGCCCUUCAUGGUCACUUACGAGAGUGAGAUCUGAUAGAUAUAAUAUUUUUGGUAUUUUUGGUAUAAAGAUGCAAAGUAAAAAGUAAAGGAAAGGUAAAAAAGCAAUGCAAGAUUAAAGUAAUGGAGAUUGAUAUGAUGAGAAUAGACCCGGGGGCCAUAGGUUUCACUAGUGGCUUCUCUCAAGAGCAUAAGUAUUCUACGGUGGGUGAACAAAUUACUAUUGAGCAAUUGACAGAACUGAGCAUAGUUAUGAGAAUAUCUGGGCAUGAUCAUGUAUAUAGGCAUCACGUCCGUGACAAGGAGAUCGAAACGAUUCUGCAUCUACUACUAUUACUCCACUCAUCGACCGCUAUCCAGCAUGCAUCUAGAGUAUUAAGUUAAAAACAGAGUAACGCCUUAAGCAAGAUGACAUGAUGUAGAGAGAUAAAUUCAUGCAAUAUGAAAUAAACCCCAUCUUGUUAUCCUCGAUGGCAACGAUACAAUACGUGCCUUGCUGCCCCUUCUGUCACUGGGUAAGGACACCGCAAGAUCGAACCCAAAGCUAAGCACUUCUCCCAUGGCAAGAACUACCAAUCUAGUUGGCCAAACCAAACGGAUAAUUAGAAGAGACUUGCAAAGAUAACCAAUCAUACAUAAAAGAAUUCAGAGAAGAUUCAAAUAUUAUUCAUAGAUUGACUUGAUCAUAAACCCACAAUUCAUCGGCCUCAACAAACACACCGCAAAAAGAAGAUCACAUCAAAUAGAUCUCCACAAGAGAGGGGGAGAACAUUGUAUUGAGAUUCAAAGAGAGAGAAGAAGCCAUCUAGCUACUAACUAUGGACCCGAAGGUCUGAGGUAAACUACUCACACUUUAUCGGAGAGGCUAUGAUGAUUUAGAAGCCCUCCGUGAUGACGGCCCUCUUCCGGCGGAGCUCCGGAACAGGCCCCGAGAUGGGAUCUCGUGGAUACAGAAAGUUGCGGCGGUGGAAUUAGGUUUUUGGCUCCUGUUCUGAUAGUUUGGGGGUAUGUGGGUAUAUAUAGGAGGAAGAAGUACGCCGGAGGAGCAACGAGGGGCCCACGAGGCAGGGGGCGCGCCCUAGAGGGGCACCCCCCACCCUCGUGACCGCCUCUUUUGUUCCUUGGAGCAGGGUCCAAGUCUCCUGGAUCACGUUCGGUGAGAAAAUCUCGUUCUCGAAGAUUUUAUUCCGUUUGGACUCCGUUUGAUAUUCCGUUUAUCUGAAACACUGAAAUAGGCAAAGAAACAACAAUUCUGGGCUGGGCCUUCAGUUAAUAGGUUAGUCCCAAAAAUAAUAUAAAAGUGGAAAAUAAAGCCCAAUAUAGUCCAAAACAGUAGAUAAUAUAGCAUGGAGCAAUCAAAAAUUAUAGAUACGUUGGAGACGUAUCAUAGCCCGUUUUCAAACACAGCGCAGCAUCGGGAGUGUACACAUGUGGGAAACGGUGGUUUGAAAAAGAAGAAGAAAAAGAAGCUAAUUGCACGUGUGGGAAUCCGUGGUCAUAUAUAUUAUAUGAACAAAAAGAGACAAUUUUUGAAUAGUUUGUAGCCAUUUUGCAUGAUAAAAAUAAAUUUGGCCCUUAAAAUUUUGGUCAUUUUGCAUUUGUAUAGAGCAAAAAGAACUAAAUUUUGCUACGCAAUGUCAAUUGAUUCCAAACGAUGCAAAAAAUACAGAGCCAUCACGUUCACAAAAAACAGAGCAAACGAUGCAAAAAACGACGCAAUUCGAUGGCCCAACCAGAGCUUGGUUUCCUUUUGGGCCCAAUAACAACGUUUUUUUCAUGGAGUCAGUGGUGGGCGAGCAGCCGAGCACAACCAAUAGGAUCGCCUCUCGCGGAUCACCCCACGAUCCAACGAUGUGGAGCCGUCCUUGUGAUCCAACGGCGCGGAGCCUACACGCAGCCAGCCCACAUAAUUCCUUCUAGAAGACCAGAUCUGAGGGUUGUCGCUUGGCGCAAGGGUAUGAUCGGACAUCUGACGUUGGGAGCUAGGGUUAGGCAAAACCCCGUGGGGUUUAGAGGGGUUUUGAGCUGGUCAACGGGGUUUCGAAGGCUUUGACUGAGCAUAACUAAUUUUCUAAAAAUAAAAAAAAAUAUGAAACCUUCGUCGUUCGUCGUUUUAUAAGAAAAACUAACGAGGAAAAAUACUAAACUUGGUCUAUUGUCAUUUUCAUGAAAAAACCCUAGCUGGCACGAUCGAGGUCAAAUGAGCACCAUUAAUUUAAAAAAAAAUCAAAAAAAUAUAAAACCUGCGCACAAUGUUGUCUUAUGUGACAUGUUACCAACCAAAAAUCAUAAACUUGGUCUAUGGUCAUUUUCAUGAGAAAACCUUCACACAUAUGAGCUAUCAUGUACAUGAUUUCAUAGAGUUCAAGGAGAGGAGGUAGGGUUACCUUCUGUUUUUGAAAAAAAUUAAAAAAUCAAAAAAAUCACCAAAGCUUUAUUUCAAAGUGAAUAAGAAGGAUCUGAAGUUAGUUUUCCAUUUUCAUAUUUCAAAUGUGUUUUUAAUAGUUUUUAUAUUAAAGCAUAUGUUUUCAAAAUAAAAUGUAAAAAAUAUGAAGAUUAAUUCAAAAAAUAUUGAGACUUUGAAUCUACACUAUGGAAAGUGAAUAUGUGUUAAUAAAAAACAUUUGGUUCAUUUAGAGUGGGUCCAAAAACACUUGAUUACAAAUGGGUUGUUUACCCUAGCCUGGGAGCUCAUUUGGAGCACAUGUCUCAAAUUCAAAUUUAUUUGACCUCCUCUAAAUCACUUCAAAUUUUCACACAUGAUCUCCUACACAAACAUAGAUAGUUUGUUAGGGUUUUACUUUUUUGCAUUUUUCUGGAAUUUAUACUGUCCAGGUUCGCCAAGGUUUACAUGAUCUCAUUUGGAGCAUGCAUUUGAUUUCCUACACAACAUGUGUGAUCAUUCCAGCACCUAAAAUCAUAGUUCACAACAUCUAAACAUAACUAACCAUAGAUUCAGGAUAGACAAAUAUACCACGGGCAAAUUUAAGGACAGACAAAUAUAUAUAGCAACCAGAUUACUAGCAUCAACAUACACUAGUACAGCGAGCUCCUAAACAAACGGUUUAAAACCCUUUCCGCGACAGCAUCUAGAACCGUCGCCAAGUGAGUGUGGGCGAUAGGGGGGUCCUUCCCACACGACCCAGAAACCAUUGGGGGUAUGCCUUCCUGGCACACACGUUCGGCAAAAUGAGGUCAUGUGCGACCGGCGAGCACUCAAAUACGGAAAUACGUACAAUAGAGCUAAAAAAUCAAUUAUACGGCAAAAUUGUUUCCGAUCGCAAGUACAUCCCACACACUCAGCGCCCGCUAAACGUUUCGGUUCGUAUGUACAUCCCACACAGUCGCUCGAAUGAAAACGUUUCCGUUCGCAGGUACAUCACACAAUUUUUCCCAUUAAAUCACUUGCGUUAUUGAAUAUAUCACACACGGUUCAUGGAAGAAAUUGUGUGGAAAAGGUUGUCCAUCACACACAGUUUUCAUGUGGUAAACGUUUGCGCAAGGUGGCCUAACGCAAACAGUUUUCAAGAGAAAGUCGUGUGUGAUUGUUCAUUGAUCCAACACGGUUUAUUCCUGAAAACUGUGUGUGUUGCCUGAGGUCAUCUCCCACGGUAUUUUUUUAACAACCAUUUGCAAUAGCAAAACCCAAUUAGCAGGCUAAUUAAUUAUCUAAUUAUUCAUAAACCAUUUAUUAAUCUAAUUGACAAUUCAUACUAAGCACACAAUAUAUUUCAUUUUCAUAAUUGAAAUACAUCAGAGUACAACAUCAUAUAGCUUCAGCACUCAGCCACCCCAUUACACAACUACACUAGGACCAAGUUUCACAUGCAACAUCUAUAACCUUUCAAAAUUAGCAUUAUAGACGGUACAUAGACAAAUGCAUCUCAUCUGGAAAACUGCUGAAGCAGAAGGCGAAUAUUGAGCCUUCAUUGAUGUUGAAGGUCUUUGUAACUUUAGGCCAGUGCAUGUGGAUGAUUGACCGUCCAUCCUUCGUUCUCUUCAGGAACACUUCAAUAUUGAACCAUGGGUGUUGUAUGAAUAUAUUCCUCGCCUCCUGACCAUACAGGUGGUUUGAGAGGUAAUCAUCAGUGAACUGCUUUGGAAAGGCCUAAAAACAAGGACAUGCAUAAAUAUCUUCUCUAUAUUGGAAAUGGGGCAAAGGAAUAAAAAAGGCAAGGUUUAAUAGUUAGUAACAUCUUGUAGUGAACUGAUGUCUUCUUCAUUGUGCAGACAAAGAUCUUGUUGUUUUUUGUUGCUAAUUUCUUUAUCCUAACAAUCUUUCUAAGUUUCUUGACUUGACUGAUAUUCAUGGACAACUCAUUUCCCCAUAUGCAAAAAGGGUCGAACAGUGGGUCAAAACCUCUGACAGCAGGACCUACAUGUGCAAGACCAAAUUGUUAAAAACCUAAAUAUUAGAAUGGUUCUUGCAAUUGCACAAUAAUGUGCUAUUAGACAACGGACCAUGCGCGUGCUAAUAUCGAUUGUAAACCUUAGUGCUUCCCAUUGUUUCCCUGCAACACAUAUAAGGUAGUUAGUCAUCAAGUUAAGUAAGGGUUUGCAUGCUAUCAGUAAAAUAUGUUGAUGAAAAAUAAUCACAUUGCAGAUUCAUUAGAUUAAUUCAAGCCAUAGGGAAAACCCAUUAAUCCAAACCAAGCAUGAUUAAGAACUAGGAAAUAUAGCACUUGUAUAUGUUUCUCAUGUAUUAAGUGCACCAAAUUUGAUUUAUUCCUCACAAGCACAACAAUACAAAAUUCUACCCACGACAAUUGGACAUCGCAUUGCAGAAUUGAACCAAACAGUUAACUAAACACCACAACAAAUGAACCAAACAUUAACUGAGCACCACAUUGCACAAUAUAACAUUGAACCAAGCAGUUAACUAAACACCACAACAAAUGAGGCAAACAUUAACUGAGCACCACACUGCACAAUAUAACAUACUCCUAAUAGAAGAUCGGACAAUUAACCAAACAGUUAACUACAGCCAAUUGUAGCAAUUGUAUUUGUUUCUCAUGUAUUUACUACAGCCAAAUUCAAUUUAUUCCUCACAUGGUAUACAAUAACAGAAUGCACACACAAUUUUGUAAAGAUAAAUUCGAUUUAUUUCUCACAUGAAAGACAAUACAAAAUUGUGAUACGUCUCCAACGUAUCUAUAAUUUUUGAUUGUUCCAUGAUAUUAUAUUAUCAACCUUGGAUGUUUUACAUGCAUUUAUAUGCUAUUUUAUAUGAUUUUUGGGACUAACCUAUUAACCUAGAGCCCAGUGCCAGUUUCUGUUUUUUCCUUGUUUUAGAGUAUCGCAGAAAAGGAAAAUCAAACGGAGUCCAAUUGACCUGAAACUUCACGGAACUUAUUUUUGGAACGGAAGGAAUCUAGGAGACUUGGAGUAGACGUCAGGGAAGCUUCGCGGUGGCCACGAGGUAGGGAGGCGCGCCCUACCCCCUGGGCGCGCCCCCACCCUCAUGGGCCCCUCGUGGCUCCCCUGACCGACUUAUUCCGCCUAUAUAUAUCCAUAUACCCUAAAAACUUCAAAGAACAGAAUAGAUCGGGAGUUCCGUCGCCAGAAGCCUUCGUAGCCACCGAAAACCAAUCUAGAGCUGUUCCGGCACCCUGUCGGAGGGGGGAAUCCCUCUCCGGUGGCCAUCUUCAUCAUCCCGGCGCUCUCCAUGACGAGGAGGGAGUAGUUCACCCUCGGGGUUGAGGGUAUGUACCAGUAGCUAUGUGUUUGAUCUCUCUCUCUCUCUCUCUCGUGUUCUUGAGGUGGUACGAUCUUGAUGUAUGGCAAGCUUUGCUAUUAUAGUUGGAUCUUAUGAUGUUUCUCCCCCUCUACUCUCUUGUGGUGAAUUGAGUUUUCCCUUUGAAGUUAUCUUAUCGGAUUGAGUCUUUAAGGAUUUGAGAACACUUGAUGUAUGUCUUGCACGUGCUUAUCUGUGGUGACAAUGGGAUAUUAUGUGAUCCACUUGAUGUAUGUUUUGGUGAUCAACUUGCGGGUUCUGUGACCUCGUGAACUUAUGCAUAGGGGUUGGCACACGUUUUCGUCUUGACUCUCCGGUAGAAACUUUGGGGCACUCUUUGAAAUUCUUUGUGUUGGUUUGAAUAGAUGAAUCUGAGAUUGUGUGAUGCAUAUCGUAUAAUCAUACCCAAGGAUAUUUGAGGUGGCAUUGGAGUAUCUAGGUGACAUUAGGGUUUUGGUUGAUUUGUGUCUUAAGGUGUUAUUCUAGUACGAACUCUAUGAUAGAUCGAACGGAAAGAUAACUUCAUGUUAUUUUACUACGGACCCUUGAAUAGAUCGAUCAGAAAGGAUAACUUUAAGGUGGUUUCGUACCCUACCAUAAUCUGUUCGUUUGUUCUCCGCUAUUAGUGACUUUGGAGUGACUCUUUGUUGCCUGUUGAGGCAUAGUUAUAUGAUCCAAUUAUGUUAUUAUUGUUGAGAGAACUUACACUAGUGAAAGUAUGAACCCUAGGCCUUGUUUCAACGCAUUGCCAUACCUUUUCUGCUCACUUUUAUCAUUAGUUACCUUGCUGUUUUUAUAUUUUCAGAUUACAAAAACCAUUAUCUAAUAUCCAUAUUGCACUUGUAUCACCAUCUCUUCGCCGAACUAGUGCACCUAUACAAUUUACCAUUGUAUUGGGUGUGUUGGGGACACAAGACACUAUUUGUUAUUUGGUUGCAGGGUUGCUUGAGAGAGACCAUCUUCAUCCUAUGUCCCCCACGGAUUGAUAAACCUUAGGUCAUCCACUUGAGGGAAAUUUGCUACUGUCCUACAAACCUCUGCGCUUGGAGGCCCAACAAUGUCUACAAGAAGAAGGUUGUGUAGUAGACAUCAAGCUCUUUCCUGGCGCCGUUGCCGGGGAGGUGAGUGCUUGAAGGUAUAUCUUUAGAUCUUGCAAUCAAAUCUUUUUGUUUCUUAUUUUAUCACUAGUUUAGUCUAUAAAAGAAAACUACAAAAAAUGGAAUUGAGGGUACCUCGUAUGCUUCAUCUUUUUAAUGUCUUCCGUGAAAAUAAGAAUUCCGAUAAUUUUGCUCAAGUGCUAGAAGAAGAAUGCAUUAGAAUGUUUGGCACUAAAUAUUUGAAUGAUGAGCAUGAUUGCAAUGUUGUUAGUACGAAUUCCUUGAAUAUCCAUGACGCUAAUGAUAUGCAAAGCCACAAGCUUGGGGAUGCUAUGUUUGAUGAAGAUGAUAAUUUUUGUCCCCCAAGUUUUGAUGAGAAAAUUUAUUAUGAUGAUAGCAUGCCUCCUAUUUAUGAUGAUUAUAUUGAUGAAAGUGGAUUUGGAAAGGUCAUGACUUUAUUUAGUGAUGAAUCCACUAUUUCGGAAGAGGUUCCAAUUGAUUAUGUGAACAAAGUUGCUAUCUAUGAUGAUUAUUGUGAUGACAUGUAUGCUAUAAAGAAUAAUGAUAUCCAUGGAACUUGUCAUCAUGAUUUUAACUUUCAGUUGGAUUAUGCCUCACAUGAUAGUUAUUUUGUUGAGUUUGCUCCCACUACUAUUCAUAAGAAAUUUGCUUAUGUGGAGAGUAGUAAAUUUUCUAUGCUUGUAGAUCAUGAAAAGAAUGCUUUAUGUGAUGGUUAUAUUGUUGAAUUUAUUCAUGAAGCUACUGAAAAUUAUUAUGAGGGGGGAAUAUAUGCUCGUAGGAAUUUAAUAUCAAGUUUCCUCUCUAUGUGCUUAAAGUUUUGAAGUUUUGCUUGCUUUACCUUCCUAUGCAAGUUGAUUCUUGUUCCCACAAGUUGUUUGCUCACAAAAUCCAUAUGCAUAGGAAGUGUAAAUGUUCUAGUCAUAUUCUUCAUGAUGCUCUCUUUAUAUUUCAAUUCUUAUCCUUUAUGUGAGCAUCAUUGAAAUCAUCAUGCCUAGCUAGGGGCGUUAAACGAUAGCGCUUGUUGGAGGCAACCCAAUUUUAUUUUUGUUCCUUGCUUUUCUCACCUGUUUAUUAAUAAAUAAUUUAUCUAGCCUCUGUUUUGGUUGUGUUUUUUUGUUUUUAAUUAGUGUUUGUGCCAAGUAGAACCGUUGGGAAGACUUGGGGAAAGUCUUUUUGAUCUUGCUGUAAAAAACAGAAACUUUAGCGCUCACGAGAAUUGCAGCCAUUUUUUAAUGGAGAGAGCUAUUUAGUUAAUUAUUUUUUAAUGGACAAAUUUCUCAGGUCCACCAAUUUAUUUUAGAAUUUUUGGGGUUCCAGAAGUAUUCGAAACCUACAUAUUACUACAGACUGUUCUGUUUUUGACAGAUUCUGUUUUCUGUGUGUUGUUUGCUUAUUUUGAUGAAUCUAUGAGUGGUAUCGGAGGGUAUGAACCAUAGAGAAGUUUAAAUACAGUAUAUAUUACACCAAUAUAAAUAAAGAAUGAGUUAACAACAGUACCUAAGUGGUGAUUUAUUUUCUUAUACUAACGGUGCUUAUGAGUUUUCUGUUAAGUUUUGUGUUGUGAAGUUUUCAAGUUUUGGGUAAAGAUUUGAUGGACUAUGGAAUAAGGAGUGGAAAGAUGCUAAGCUUGGAGAUUCCCAAGGCACCCCAAGGUAAUAUUCAAGGACAACCAAGAGCCUAAGCUUGGGGAUGCCCCGGAAGGCAUCCCCUCUUUCGUCUUCGUUCAUCGGUAACUUUACUUGGAGCUAUAUUUUUAUUCACCAUAUGAUAUGUGUUUUGCUUGGAGCAUCAUUUUAUUUUCUUUUGUUUUGCUUGCUGUUUGAAUAAAAUACCAAGAUCUGAAAUUAUUAAAUGUUAGAGAGUCUUCACAUAGUUGCAUAAUUAUUCGACUAGUCAGUGAUCUUCACUUAUAUCUUUCGGAGUAGUUUAUCGUUGCUGUAGUGCUUCACUUAUAUCUUUUUAGAGCACGGUGGUGGUUUUAUUUUGUAGAAAUAGAUGAACUCUCAUGCUUCACUUAUAUUAUUUUUAGAGUCUUUAGAACAUCAUGGUAGUUUGCUUUGGUUAUGAAACUAGUCCCAAUAUGAUAGGCAUCCAAGUGGGAUAUAAUAAAUACAUUCAUAAAAAGUGCAUUGAAUACUAUGAGAAGUUUGAUACUUGAUGAUUGUUUUGAGAUAUGAAGAUAGUGAUAUUAGAGUCAUGCUAGUUGAGUAGUUGUGAAUUUGAGAGAUACUUGUGUUAAAGUUUGUGAUUCCCGUAGCAUGCACGUAUGGUGAACCGUUAUGUGAUGAAGUCGGAGCAUGAUUUAUUUUUUGAUUGUCUUCCUUAUGAGUGGCGGUCGGGGAUGAGCGAUGGUCUUUUCCUACCAAUCUAUCCCCCUAGGAGCAUGUGCGUAGUACUUUGUUUCGAUAACUAAUAGAUUUUUGCAAUAAGUAUGUGAGUUCUUUAUGACUAAUGUUGAGUCCAUGGAUUAUACGCACGCGCAACAUUCGCCGGUACCAUACACCCACCAUUACCUUCCUCAAAACAGCCACCAUACCUACCUAUUAUGGCAGUUCCAUAGCCAUUCCGAGAUAUAUUGCCAUGCAACUAUCCACCGUUCCAUUUAUUAUGACACGCUCCAUCAUUGUCAUAUUGCUUUGCAUGAUCAUGUAGUUGACAUCGUAUUUGUGGCAAAGCCACCGUUCAUAAUUAUUUCAUACAUGUCACUCAUGAGUCAUUGCACAUCCCGGUACACCUUCAGAGGCAUUCAUAUAGAGUCAUAUUUUUUUCUAAGUAUCGAGUUGUAAUUCUUGAGUUGUAAGUAAAUAAAAGUGUGAUGAUCAUCAUUAUUAGAGCAUUGUCCCAGUGAGGAAAGGAUGAUGGAGACUAUGAUUCCCCCACAAGUUGGGAUGAGACUCGGGACGAAAAAAAAA
This 59263-nucleotide long non-coding RNA is filed under the name Triticum aestivum (bread wheat). Its description in RNAcentral is "long non-coding RNA (TAES_LNC024991)". Lineage: Eukaryota; Viridiplantae; Streptophyta; Magnoliopsida; Poales; Poaceae. The record is from RNAcentral.